RNAcentral lists this long non-coding RNA (88456 nucleotides) under Gossypium barbadense (sea-island cotton). Its description in RNAcentral is "long non-coding RNA (GBAR_LNC015216)". The record is from RNAcentral. Lineage: Eukaryota; Viridiplantae; Streptophyta; Magnoliopsida; Malvales; Malvaceae.
GUUGCCAAAGUAGCUGCAAUUCAACAGGUUGAAUCCAUAAUAAUAGUCAUCAGAAGUAAAAGCUAUAAUUUGGGAGCCAGGGGUGCUUAAGCAAGCGACUCUAUAUCUUUUUUUAUACAAAGCCUUCUCUUGGCUUGAACAUUCAAACAAGGUAUAGUUGGAUUCAGCUGGUUGGGAUCUAUAAACUUUUAGGCGGCUGAAACCUGGUUGUUCCUCCGCGAAUGGAAAGGCAGAUAAAUUGAGAUAAAAAAGCUGCUUCCAGAGGCAACGGCCGGGAACGUACAAGUCAAUCCGCUGAGCUUCAUAAUCUAUGUGCUUCACCAACAGCUUCAGCGAACGUGGUAUCCUCAGCAGGGUCUGUUUGUUUUCUGAGCAGGAAAGCUGAAACCCAGGAUGAGGAUAGCCGCAGUGGGGUGACUGCUGGCCUUCUAAACGAAAGGGGAAACGGACAGGUGGAUCCUGGUGGUUGCACCGCUGCACCUUGCAGUCGUCUUGGAUUGGCACUGCUUCUGCAACAUUCACAGCUAAGAUAAAGCAGAAUAACGAGUAAAUUAACAUUGUUCUUACUAACUUGUGAGCCCCUGAAGUGAAACGGGCUUUAAAUAGUUUCAUUGACAUAGGUGGUUCAGCCCUUGAGAGUUCCAAUUAUGCACGCAACGCAGCUGCUGCUUUACUAUAUAGAUUUGUCUCGUUUAACAGGGUCUUCAACUCUUCGUCCUCUCUUUGUCCUCUUUUAUGAGUAAAUGUUGGACAUGUUUGAUUGUUAGCAACCCUUUCUAAUCUUGUUACUAAUUUUCUUUUAUUACCGUUAGUUGUAGUAAAAUUUGAGGAAAAAACACUGAACAUGAGAAUGAAUACCGAUUUGCUGUUGUGAUCAUAGUGGGGUUAGCUUGACUGACUUUUGUUUUUCCACCUUCGUUUCACUACAUUUUGUUUGGUAUGACUAAGAAGUUGACUGACUUUUAUGGGUUCUUUUUAAUGUCUAUCGUUUCUUUUCUAAUGUAGGUGGUUUUUUUCUCACUUUCUUUUUUUCUAAUUUAUCUUUUACUUUUAAAAAUGGCAAAACUCGAAUCAUAUGUUUUUAAAUUACUUAUACAAAUUUUUUAAAAGUGGAUACAAGACAAUGAGAUGAUUUUUUCCACAUGAGUAUGAAACAAUUAUAGUCAUUGUUUGCUCUACUCACCCUAUCUCGAAAUAAUCUUUUACCUUUCUUUGUAUAUAAUUAUUAAAAUGAUAAAAAUGUAAUAAUAUAUUAUAGAAAAAAUUCAUAUGUUUUAUACUUAUAUUUUUUAAAAAUUAUGUUUAAAUAUUUACUUGUCUUAAAAAAAGUAAAAUUAUUAAAAUAACUAGAAAUAAAAAUUAAAUUAAAUUAGAGCGAAGCAAGGUGAGAUGGGAUGGGGAUGGAUGCUUCUAAUAUCUAUGCGGUGAUAGUAAUUUUUCAGAUUAUACAUCCAACACAAGUAAAAAUUCAUAUGCAAGGAAUCAAAAUAUCAGUCCACUAAGCCAAUAAUUUAAUUACAACAUUAAGAUAAUUUAAAACGUAACGAUUACAAACUAAUUUUUUAAAUGUUGGUUGCUUAAAACGUAAGGAUCACAUGCACUAUAAACGUAAGGACCACCGUUGAAAGCCAUGCAAAAAUCUACAAUUUUAUAUUUAUAUGUACAUAUAUACAUAUACAUAUACACGUAAACACUAUAAAUCAUGCCAACCAUUAACAAAGCCAUGCAAAUAUUUAUAUUUAUAUUUAUAUAUUUCAUAUAUUUAUACAUUCACAUGCACAUAACUAAAUACGACAUCAUGCAAAUAUAGUUAUGUACAGAAUAUUGAUAUAUUAUCUCAUUAAUUUUAAAAAUAAACAACACCAAAAGACCAAGCUUUACACUACUCACACGACAUAACAUUGGGUUCACGAAUCCUCAAAGCACUACUCCCUCUGGGCUUUCUAUUAACAGCAACCUCCUUUGUCUUUAUUUGGUUGUGGCUUCUAUGCAGAUUAGACGAGAGGCUUCAAUGGAUGAUAUAAAAGAGGUGGUGUUGGUCAGUGUUGGGCAGAGGUGGCCUGAUGUCGGUGCAAGGAGAUCAACGGUUAGGGACGAGGGUGACUGUGGAGCGAUGAGAUGUUGGGGCGACGGAAGAACUCACGAUGGCGGUGAUAGGGCGGACAAUGGUGCAUUGAUGGAGAUGACUCCAAGGCAGCGUGAUGAAAGGGAGGGACGACUUGGGGCAGUUGGCUGACGGUGUGGCGACUAAGAGGAUCGGUGCUUAGUGAUGGAAUGAAGGAGAUAAUGCCUGACGUUGGGGAGUGAAAGGUGGUAAUCAGUCUUUUAUUAGGUUUGAUAGUAGGAAAGUUUGACCAAAUGUAUUCAUUCUUUUUUAGUCAUAACUCUGAAACCUAAUUGAUGAUGAUGAUAGAGCACACACACCUAAGCCACCACUCUCUCGACUAAGUACAGUUUUUUUUGUUGCUUUUGAAAAUUGUUUUUAGAAAAUACCUUUAAAAAAUACUUUUAAAAAAUUUGAAUAUUUGGUAUUGCUAUAAAAAAAUAUGAUAUUAUAAAGUAAUAAAUAUGUGUUUAAAUAAUAUUCAAAUUAGUUAAUAUUAUGAUAUUUUAGCAAAAAAAUAAAAAAUAAUUUAUUAUAACUUAUUGUUAAUAUUUUAAUAUAUAAUAUUAAUUUUAAAUAUUUCUAAGUAAUUAAUAUUAAUUAUUUAUUAACUUUAAUUAGAAUAUAUAAACUAUAUUUAAAUAUUUAAAUAUAAUAAUUAAAUAAUUGUAAUUAGAUAUUGACACAACUGUAUUAUUAUAAAAAUUAUUUUUUAUUUUUAAUUAAUGCUUUUAACACAUUUGUAUUAUUUUAUUUUAAAAUGUAUUUGAAUAUAUAACUCAUAUUAGAUAUUAACAUAACAUAGAAAACAUAAACCUAAAAAAUUAAAAUAUUACAUAUAUUUGGAUUAAAGUUUUAAAAAGGGAUAAUAUUUAUAUACCAAAUAUAAAUACUAAAAAUUUUACAAUAGCAUUUACAAUUUAAAGUGAAUUCAUUAAACUAGAAGCUAUAGCAUCUCUUGUUAAUUCCAUUUCAAAACCACUUGAAUUGUUUGAUUCACUGUCAUCAUCACUAUCUUCGUCGUCGUCGUCAUCAUCAUCACUUUAUCGACCAUGCGCAUUUUCUGAAUCAAUAAUUGUAAUAGCCCGAUUUUAGGCUUAGUCGGAACAGUGGUUUCGGGACCACAAAUCCGACGAAAAAAAAUGUAAUGGCUUGAAUUUUCAGAGGUGUCGGAACGGUGAUUCGAGAUCACUAAAUUCGACAAAUGGGUAGAAAAUAUUAUUAAUUUAGUAAGUAUAAGUUAAAUAUGAAGUUAGGAAAAUUUUUGAAAUAGUGAAUAGUGCACUAGAAAUAAAUAUUAAAAUAAUUAGAAUCGAAAUGAGGUAUCAAGACCUCGGGGAUUUUAAACUGAGCCAUAAAUAUUUUUAUAAAUAUUUAUGGAGUGUUAAAAAGUUAGUAUUAUAGUUUCGUUAAGAAAUUUUAAAGUUCUGAUAAUUAAUUGAACAAAAAGGACUAAAUUGUAACAAAUGCAAAAUUUUGGGAAAUGAUUAAAUAGCUUAAAUGAUAAAAGGAAGAGGGCUUAAAAGGCAAAUAGACCCAAGGUCUAUUUGGGCUGGACGGCAGAGGCAUGAAAUCAGCAAGAAAGAAAGGAGAAUUAAGGGAAAAAUUGGAAAAUUGCAAAAUUUGCUUAAUAAAGUUAGGACCCAAGUGGAAUUAUCUAGAUUUCUCUUCAUUUUUUUGAAUUCUCAUCAGCUAAAACACCAUGGAAGGGCUUCUUCAAGCUGGUUCUUCAUAUUUUUAUUACAAGUAAGUUCAAUUCUUGACUAUUUCUUGAAAUUUUUGUAUUUUUAUGACUUUUACAACUAGGCCCACUUGUUAAAUCCAUUAUUUUUUGAUUUUAUGAAAGAAGUUGAAAGUUGAUAUGAAUAUGUGCUGGAAGUAUAUGAUGAUUUAGCAUGAAAUUAGAGCUUUAAAUUGUUCAUAUGCUGAUUUUAUUGAAAGAAUUGAAUAGAAAGUGAAUGUUUGGGACCUAAUAGUAAAAGAGUUUGAAGAUAGAGUUAUAUGUGGAAAUUCUGAAUUUCAAUAGUUGUGUAACAACUUAUAAUGUCUAGUAAAGUACUAAUUGAGAAAAUUAGAUUAAUUGAGGGGUUAAUUGAGAAAGGACCGAAUUGUAUAAACUGUGAAAUUUGGGGCAAAAUGGAAAUCAACAUUUUGCACUAAAGCAGUUUUGGACAGCAGCAGUAGUGUAACUUUGAAAAAUCACCAAAAAUUGUAGAGAUUGAAUUAGAGGAUGAAUAAAAUAUGAAACUAAAGCUUAUUGAGUCUAGUUUCUUAUAAAAGAAAUGAUGUGAGCAAUGGAAUUGUAAAUCAUGAGAUAUAAUAGAUUUUGUGAGACAAGGUCAGAAUGAAUUCGGGUUCCCCUGUUCUGACUUUGGAAAAUCAUUAAAAAUUGUACAAAAAUGAUUAUGAGUUUUAGUUUAUAUGGUUAGAAUCCUUAAUGAGUCUAUUUUUAGAAGAAACAAGCUAAAACAUCAUCCGAAUUCUAUACAAUGAGAUAAUUAAUUUUUAGUGAAGAGUGGUUGGAACUGUCAGACAGCAAAACAGGGGAAACUUUAAAGAAUAAACUGUACUAUUUGGCUGAACCAAAAAUUAUGAAAAUUUUAUGGUAUUAAGAUAUGUGAGUCUAGUUUCAGGGAAAAUUAACGGAUCUUAAUUUGGAGCUCUGUAGCUCCGGAUAAAAAUAAUUUAGUGACUCUGACUCGGAUAAAUAGCUUUGAAUAUACAUGUUAGUGAAUAUUGAAAUUAUGGUUAAUGUUGUUUAAGUGUGUUAUACACAUUAAGGAUGUGGAAUGGAGAGGAGGAGGAGGAAAAUUGGGAAAUAUAUGAAUGAUUCGUGUAUAAAUGGUCAUAUGUUUGAUUAUAACUCAUAAACGAUGAAAUAUGAAUGAUGCUUAUUUUUGUGCAUUAUUGGUCAUGGUUUAAGCUCAUGUGUGAAAAUAAAGUUUCAUAGUAUGUGUGUAUGGUAUAUUCAGUAUAUGAUUUGGCAUGAAAUAAUACCAUGAAUGGUUUAUGAAUUAACACAUGUUGGUAAGCCUGAUAUAUGAAUAAAUGAUCAAAUUGAGCGGAACGCCGGAUUUGAGUACUUCUGAUCAAGUGACAAAGUGAUAAGUGGUAGCUUUAGCUACACUUAUCUGAUCAAGUGACAAGUGGAAAGUGAUAAGUAAUAGCUUCGGCUAUACUUAUCUGAUCAAGUGACAAAGUGAUAAGUGAUAGCUUCGGCUACACUUAUCUGAUCAAGUGACAAGUGAAAAGUGAUAAGUGAUAGCUUCGGCUAUACUUAUCUGAUCAAGAGACAAAGUGAUAAGUGAUAGCUUUAGCUACACUUAUCUGAUCAAGAGACAAAGUGAUAAGUGGCUACACUUAUCUGAUCAAGAAACAAAGUGAUAAGUGGCUACACUUAUCUGAUCAAGAAACAAAGUGAUAGGUGGCUACACUUAUCUGAUCAGGGACAAGUGAUAAGUGAUCAUACGUAAGACCAUAGUUAUACUAUGGCAAAGUGAAAGUGAAGUACUCAAUUUUCCGUGACCGUUCCGUAAUUUGAUUAAGGAUGGUAAGUGACAAAUGGGCCCAAAAGAAUUAAAGUAAAUGGAUAAGUGGUAGUGUAUUUAUAUCAGGACGAUGUUGUUAUUCAAACUAAAGUGAUAUUUUCAUUGCUAAAUUGAGAAUUUCAUAAAUGUGUUAUUGAAUGGUAUAAUCAAUAAACAUUGAGUUAAAUGGUAAAUACGUAUUAGUUUUGAAUUUGAUGUCAUUGAAUUGUACGUGAAUUAAAUGGAAAUUGCUAGUGAUAUGAUUUAAAUUAUGAGCAUGAGAAAUUGCGAAUUGAAUGAAAUGGAAAUGAAGCAUUAAAUUGCAUGAGUAUGUAUCGGGUCUCGCAGGCCCUAAUUAUUAUGAAUAUAUUAUUUUGAGGAUAUACUGUGAAAAGUUAUAGAAACAUGUUAAUUAUUUUGAAAGUUUUAAUUUUGAUGAAAUUUUAUAACUCGGUUAAAUACGUUUACAAGUGUAUGUGUUUUGGUAAUGCCUCGUACCCUAUUCCGGUGUUGGAUACGGGUAAGGGGUGUUACAAUAAUAUUCUCAUAUGCCCAGUUAAUAUCUUCGUAUUCCAUAAAAUCUGCAUCAUUUCGACCGAAAUGUUUUCAGAUAAAAUUGUGUAUUGUCAUUGUAGCAACAACGAUCAUGGUUUGCUUUUCAAAAAUAUAACUUGGCAUAUCCCUUAAAAUGGCCCUUUUUUUCAAAACACCAAAAGUUCGUUCAAUCACACUACGUAAUGAUGAAUGUGAAUGAUUGAAUAUCUCUUCUAUACCAGAUAUCGGUCUACCUCUACGAAAGUCAAGUAAAUGAUAUCGUAUGGGUUUUGCUUAUGAUUGCGGCACUCUUUAAUAUGUACCAUUUGCAAUACAUUUAAGUAAAAAUAUUAUUAUAUAUAAAGUCCUAAGGCAGUCAUUAAGAAAACCCAUGUAGUUACUUCAAACAUGUGGUAUUAUUGAUUAUCAAAGUAAUGGCAUUAAAGGCAUGACUUCCCCACUCCACCGGUCCAGGUGCAACUGCAUUAAUGGAGUAAAAAAGACACAUACCUAGCUACAAAACUCAAUUAUGGCUUGUUUCCAAACCUUACCAAACCAUGAACUCAACAUGAUACUUCAAACAAUUGAAUCACCAAACUAAAAGAGAAAAAAAGAAUUUCAAAAACUAGAAUAAAUUGCUUGGAUGUUUAAGUUCAAACCUGGGAAUAUAUAUAUAGAAACGCAAAAGUUGAAGCAAAAAGAAAAGAAAAAAGCCAGUGUAACCUCCAGUAAGAAGCUCAAAAGAAUGGAAAUGCUAGCAUUUACCAAUCAAAAUUAAUAUAUAGUAAAGUAAUUAAGUUGAAAAAAAGAACUUUGCAAAUGAAGAAGAGACAGAAAACAACACACAUAAAAAAUGGACAAAGACUGAUGAUGUUUGUAAACCAUCCAGAAAAUAGAAUAAGAAGAGAACAAAUCCAUCAACCACCUCUCUGAAAACUAUCCAUUUGCCAGCAGAGGAACAAAAAACCAGCACCAGCAGAGGAACAAAGAACGAGCGAUGAGAGAAGAGAUGAGAGCAAAGAACCAGUGUUGUAUGUGUGGUUAAAAAAGUAAAAGACCAGCCCAAAAGUACUUUUCGGCUGAAAAAGCUAAAAAAUUCUACUUUUUCAUCUGCCCAAAAGCACUUCAAAUAAGUUCGAAAUUUGCUACCAAAUGAAGUCUGUUCUGCAUUACUUUUUAGAGAAAAGCACUUUUCCUUUACUGAAUUGAAUUAAUGGAAAAAAACGACAAAGAGUGUAAUUUUUACUUUACUUUACUGAAAGUGAAUGGAUAAAUAUGGAAUUAGAGAAUAAAGAAAAUUGGGGAAAAAAGAAGAAGAAGAAGGAGAAGUGUUGUCAUGAUUAUGACCCUUGGAUAUUAUGGAAGAAGUGAAGAAAUAAUUGCAAUUGGAUAUUAAUUAUAAUGUUGGGAUUUUUAUUAAUGUUUUAAUUAUAUUAAUUGUUACAUGGCCGUGUGGCUCAAAUGGACGUGUGGAAGAGGUCAGUUUAUGUGGCUCCCGUACUUGUUUUGAUUUUCAAUUCUUGAUAAGUGUCAAAAGUAACAUAUUUUAAUUUCGUUCUUAAUACGUUUUUAGAUGAUUAAUCAAUGCAAAAUGGUGAAUUUUAUACUCAUAAUCCUUUAAAUUUAUAUUUCUAUACUUAUAAGAGCAUUUUGAGAGAAAAAUGAGUGAAAACGGAGCGAAAAUCAGACAAUUGGAGUAGAUUUUAGGAGCCACAUGGGUUGGACACACGAUCAUGUGAGCCAUACGAGCUGCCAGACAGCCAUGUGCCAGACCGUGUGGAUUUCGCGUUUCACACUCCAAAUAUGUGGAAUCACGCAGUUUUUAGGUUUUUCGGGCAUUCUUAGACCUAUAUAUACCAAAUAUAAGGAGAGAAGUAAGAGCCGUCAGAGAAUAUUGAAGAAAACAACUCAGAAGACACCAUUGAAGCCAACUUUGAAACAGAUUUCCACUAAGAUUGAAGAUCUCCUUUUGAUUUAUUUGAAGUUUAUUAUGAGUUUCUUUAUUUUUUUGUGGUUAUAUUGUCUUUGAGAUGUUUUUAUUCGCGAUUAUGAACUAAUUUUCUAAUACCUAGGGGAGAUGAACCUUAUGAUGAAUUUUGUCUUUUGAUUUCUGUUUUAUGCAAUGAAUAAUUGAAUCUUAUUCUUAGUUAUGUGUGCUUAAUUCUUGAUUUAAUAUUUUCGAAUUAUUAAUUCAUGUUUGAUGUGCUUAAUUCAAAGUAGAUCUAGCAUAAUUGAGUGGAGUUGCAUGUAAUCUUAGAAAUAGGACGACAUAAAUCUACCGAAUUAGGUAUUCAUAAAUGAGAACUCAAUCAUAUCCAUCGGCACAAAACCCAACCAGGCGAGUCACAUUUACAUAGUGGAUUCUACCCAUCGAACUCACCUCAUUGAUGAACUCUUAAUAGUUAACUAAAGUUUGCUUUCUACUUUUUUUUUAUUUCUAUUUUUAAGAAAAUGUUAUUUUAUUAAUUCAAUUAUCAAAAUUAAUAUUAUUUUAUUUAAAUUAGAUUAAUCCUCAUUUAAUUAUUACAAGUAUAUUAUUUUAGAAUUAUAAAAAUUAUUAUUUAAUAAAUUAAACAAAUAAACAUUUAAAAUCACAUACAUUACAUUAAAAACUAAUAUAUCUAAAUAUAUAUUUUACCACUUAUUUUAAUCUUGUUAUUUUUAAUUUCAUCAAAAUUAUAUAUCACUCGAGCCACUGCGACUGCUGACUGGCGAUUAUUGCCUGCAUAAUUUGAUGAAAGGUUCUGAAUUAAUACAUCCAAGACUUUUAUGAGCAUCGCCAUUGACUGACCGACGACUUGUAUGAAUGAAUUUUCCACAUUAGCUUUAUUAUGGACUGAUUUUUCAAAGAAAGAAUUUUCCACUUGCUCUCAGUUGCAGCCAUAAAAUAAAUGAAUGAUUGGCAUUUUACAUUAAAGAACAUCCCAUUGUUUAUUUCUUCAUCGGAGCUCCACCGGAACCUGAUGAUGUUAAGACCCAGACUUGUCUUGUUUAGCGUCUUUGCCCUUACUUUAUCUCUAUCCCCAGAUGUUUCCGAUGGUAGAGCAGGCAAAAGCAACCACUGCAACCCAUCUUUGUGUGGACACGUUAAUAUCAGUCACCCUUUCCGACUAAAGGGUCAGCCUCGAGAAUGUGGUGACCGUAGGUUUGAAUUAGAGUGCAAGGGAAACCGCACCAGUUUUCCCACGAAAUACGGAAACUUUUAUGUCCUAAACAUCUCUUAUGUUUACGGAACGCUUCGACUUGUGGAUGUGAGUCUGGUCGAUGAAAACUGCUCAAUUCCUCGCAGUUCCAUUGUCGAUUCUUCAGACAGCUAUCUAGAAUACAUAAUAGCGAAUGGAGCAGACACCAUGUAUCUGGUAAAUUGCACGACAAAGAUGAAGUCUUCUUCAGUUUAUGUCGAUGCUUCUCGUUGCCCAACCAAUAGCUCUUCUUCUCCUUGGACCUACUUCUACUUUCCGGUCUUGUUUUCAAAUAUAUCCGAUUUCCAUCAUUCGUGCAGAUUUAUAUGUUAACAUUAAUGGGAGACAACAUUAAUGGCAAACAAUACAAAGUGGUGCAAGUUUAGCACCCUAAAGUUGACUUUGAAAAAAGUGGCAUGGGAUAAUUUUUUUUGGUCAUUGAGAUAAUGGGCUAUUUAUUGUUUGGUCCUUAAACCUCAACUAUAAAUAGGCCUUCUCAUUUCUCAUUUCAAUUCAUCCCAACCAAUCUUUCUCUCUUAGUUUUAUCUCUUCUCCCAUUUGAGAAUUCUUAAGGAAUUCUAUUUGUUUGUAAUAUUUUGGAGAUAGUAAAGUUAUCAUCUGGUUUUAGUAGCCCGAGGACGUAGGUAUAAUUUACUGAACCUCGUUAAAACUCUUGUAUUCUUUUUGUCCUAUUUUUCUUUCAAUAUUUGAGGGUAUAAUAGUAGUAUUUAAUUGUGCUAUUAAAUUACGUUAGAAGGAAUAUUCUGACUAAGGAAAGACUUGGUAUUUAAGAGAUCCUUGUGAUCCACCUCUCUUCCCUGGGAAUUGAACUUUGUGUGAUUUUUAGUACAAUAAUUUACACGCUUCCGACCCUAUUGGAACUACAAGUGGUAUCAAGAGCCGAAGGUUAAUCGUAGUAUGCUCUGUGGUUGCAGUUUAAACUGAUCUUCCACAUCAGAAAAGAUUUCUUUAGGUAUAUUGAAAGAUUAUGGAGAAAACAGUCGGUGUAGGAGCUUCAACAUCGUCCAUAUGGACAAGACCGACAAUUGCAAAUGCAAGAUUGGCCGUGGAGAUCUUUGAUGGCACGGGCCAUUUUGGUAUGUGGCGAAGUGAGGUUCUAGAUGCCCUUUUUCAGCAGGGUCUAGACAUUGCCAUUGAUGAAGAGAAACCAGAUGAUGUACAGGAGAAAGAUUGGAAGGCGAUCAAUCGGUUGGCAUGUGGCACAAUUCGAUCAUGCUUUUCUCGAGAGCAGAGGUAUGCUUUUUCAAAGGAGACUUCUGCAAAUAAGUUGUGGGUGGCACUUGAAGAAAAAUUUUUGAAGAAAAACAGUCAAAAUAAGCUCCACUUGAAGAAAAGACUGUUUCGCUUCACAUACGUCCCAAGUACCACAAUGAAUGAUCACAUCACCAAAUUUAAUCAGUUAGUCACUGAUUUGCAGAAUAUGGAUGAGACAUUCAAAGAUGAAGAUUUGGCUUUGAUGCUAUUGGGGUCACUUCCUGAGGAGUUUGAGUUCCUAGAAACUACUCUACUUCAUGGCAGGAGUGAUAUAUCUCUGAGCGAAGUCUGUGCGGCCUUAUACAGUUAUGAACAGAGAAAGAAGGACAAACAGAAAAACUCAAUCAGAGAUACAGAAGCUUUAGUAGUCCGAGGUCGUUCAUACACUCGGAAGAAAACUCAAAAGGGGAGAUCAAAGUCAAAGUCCAGACUCGGGAAAAAUGAAUGUGCUUUUUGUCAUGAGAAAGGCCACUGGAAGAAAAAUUGUCCAAAGCUGAAGAAUAAGGGAAAAGCUGCUGUAGAUGCUUGUGUUGCUAAGCAUGAUACUAGUGACUCUGAACUAUCACUGGUUGCAUCAUCAUCGUCGUUCCAUUCAGAUGAGUGGAUAUUGGAUUCGGGUUGUACCUAUCAUAUGUCCCCUAACCGGGAGUGGUUCUCUGAUUUAGUAGAACUAAAUGGAGGAGUUGUUUAUAUGGGCAAUGACAAUGCCUAUAAAACUGUUGGGAUAGGUUCAAUCCAAUUAAAGAAUAAAGAUGGAUCAACCAGAGUUCUGACUGAUGUUCGGUACGUGCCCAGUUUGAAGAAAAAUCUCAUCUCAUUGGGAGCCUUGGAAUCCAAUGGUUCAGUUGUUACUAUGAGAGAUGGGAUUUUGAAAGUGACAUCUGGCGCACUUGUGAUAUUGAAGGGCAUCAGAAAAAAUAACUUGUAUUACUACCAAGGUAGUACAGUGAUUGGAGCAGUCGCUGCAGCUUCCGGCAACAAAGAAUUGGACUCAAUACAGUUGUGGCAUAUGAAGUUGGGACAUGCCAGCGAAAAAUCCUUACAAAUUCUGGCAAAGCAAGGAUUGUUGAAAGGUGCAAAGGCUUGCAAAUUAAAAUUUUGCGAGCAUUGUGUUCUGGGAAAGCAAAAGAGAGUGAAAUUCGGUACUGCUAUCCAUAAUACAAAAGGUAUUUUGGAAUAUGUUCACUCAGAUGUGUGGGGGCCUUCCAAGACACCUUCAUUGGGAGGAAAACACUACUUUGUUACUUUUGUUGAUGACUUUUCCAGAAGAGUUUGGGUGUAUACCAUGAGAACUAAGGAUGAAGUGCUUAGAGUUUUUCUUAAAUGGAAAACUAUGAUCGAAAACCAGACUGGCAAGAAAAUCAAGCGGCUUAGGACGGACAAUGGAGGGGAAUAUAAAAGUGAUCCGUUCUUCGAUGUGUGCCAAGAGUAUGGUAUUGUUCGACACUUCACAGUUAGGGAUACACCACAGCAGAAUGGAUUGGCAGAGCGUAUGAAUCGAACAUUGCUGGAGAAAGUUCGAUGUAUGUUGUCCAAUGCUGGGUUGGGCAAGCAAUUUUGGGCUGAGGCUGUGACAUACGCUGGCCAUCUUGUUAAUCGUUUGCCAUCAUCUGCAUUAGAAAGAAAAACUCCUAUGGAGGUAUGGUCUGGAAAACCGGCUACAGAUUAUGAUUCCUUACAUGUGUUUGGAACCACUGCAUAUUACCAUGUGAAGGAGUCAAAGUUAGAUCCGAGGGCAAAGAAAGCUCUCUUUAUGGGAAUCACUUCUGGAGUGAAGGGAUUUCGUCUUUGGUGCUUAAGCACAAAGAAAAUGAUCUGUAGCAGAGAUGUUACCUUUGAUGAAUCUGCCACAUUGAAAAAGGUAGCAGAUAAAGAUAUUCAGACGAGCAAUACUCCACAGCAGGUGGAGUGUACUCCAAAACAGGUGGAGUUUGAGCAGAUGGGGAUUUGCCCAGUUAAUAAGUCUAAUUCUCCAGCCACAAUGGAGGAAUUAGAGGUUGAAGAGGUUCUGACCCAAGAACCACUAAGUACACCAGAACCAGUUGCAGUUGCAAGGCCACGGAGAGAAAUUCGUAAACCUGCUCGAUUUACUGAUAUGGUGGCCUACGCCCUUCCUGUUGUUGAUGAUAUUCCUAUCACUUAUCAAGAAGCAAUGCAAAGCUUAGAAAGUGAUAAAUGGAAAAGCGCCAUGGAUGAAGAAAUACAGUCUCUCCGGAAGAACAAUACUUGGGAGUUGGCGCAAUUACCGAAAGGUAAAAGGGAAAUCGGAUGCAAGUGGGUAUUUGCAAAGAAAGAUGGAUCUCCUAGCAAGAAGGAUAUUCGCUACAAGGCAAGAUUGGUAGCUAAAGGCUACGCUCAGAAGGAGGGAAUUGACUACAAUGAUGUAUUUUCCCCUGUUGUGAAGCAUUCCUCCAUUAGAAUUUUGUUGGCCUUGGUAGCACAGUUAAAUUUGGAGCUAGCUCAACUUGAUGUUAAGACGGCUUUUUUGCAUGGUGAGUUAGAAGAGGAGAUCUAUAUGACUCAGCCCGAAGGAUACACAGAUGCUGGUAGUAGAAAUUGGGUUUGUAAGCUGAACAAAUCGCUAUAUGGAUUGAAGCAAUCCCCGAGGCAGUGGUACAAGCGAUUUGAUAGCUUUAUGAGAAGGCAGAAGUACACAAGAAGCAAAUAUGACAAUUGUGUAUAUUUGCAGAAGCUGCAUGACGGAUCUUUCAUUUAUCUACUCUUGUAUGUUGAUGAUAUGUUAAUCGCUUCGAAGAGCCAAAAUGAGAUAGAUAAGCUGAAGGCUCAGUUGAAUCAAGAGUUCGAGAUGAAAGAUCUAGGUGAGGCCAAGAAGAUUCUCGGCAUGGAGAUAAGUAGAGAUAGACCGAGAGGCAAGCUCUGUUUAAAUCAGAAGCAAUAUCUGAAAAAAGUAUUACAAUGUUUUGGUGUAAAUGAAAACACAAAACAUGUAAGUACCCCACUUGCUUUUCAUUUGAAACUUAGUGCUCAAUUAUCUCCGAAGACUGAAGAUGAAAGAGAAUAUAUGGCGAAAGUCCCAUAUGCUAAUGCAGUUGGGAGUUUGAUGUAUGCGAUGGUGUGUACGAGGCCUGACAUUUCACAAGCUGUUGGAGUUGUGAGCAGGUAUAUGCAUGAUCCUGGAAAAGGACAUUGGCAAGCUGUGAAAUGGAUUCUACGGUAUCUUCGAAAAACCGUAGAUGUUGGUUUAAUUUUUGAACAGGAUGAAGCACUUGGUCAGUUUGUAGUUGGAUAUGUUGAUUCCGACUUUGCUGGUGAUUUAGAUAAACGUCGUUCAACUACGGGGUAUCUGUUUACUCUUGCGAAAGCCCCAGUGAGUUGGAAGUCUACCUUACAGUCUACAGUAGCUGUGUCUACUACAGAGGCAGAAUAUAUGGCAGUUACAGAAGCUGUUAAGGAGGCUAUUUGGCUUAAUGGAUUAUUGAAAGACUUGGGAGUUGUUCAAAGUCACAUUAGUCUAUAUUGUGACAGUCAGAGUGCUAUUCAUUUAGCGAAAAAUCAAGUCUAUCAUUCAAGAACCAAGCAUAUCGACGUAAGAUAUCACUUUGUGCGGGAAGUCUUUGAAAAAGGAAAAAUUCUACUUCAGAAGAUUCCGACAGCAGAUAAUCCCGCAGAUAUGAUGACCAAGGUGGUAACAACAAUCAAGUUUAAUCAUUGUUUGAACUUGAUUAACAUCUUGAGAAUUUGAGCACCUUUAGGUGUAUGGCGCUCGAGAGCGCAUUUGGAGGCACUACAAAAGAUAGCUUUAUCGAAUUUGGGGAGUUGAAGGAAGUGUGUGAAUAUGUGAUUAUCCUAAUCAAAUCUUCAAGGUGGAGAUUGUUAACAUUAAUGGGAGACAACAUUAAUGGCAAACAAUACAAAGUGGUGCAAGUUUAGCACCCUAAAGUUGACUUUGAAAAAAGUGGCAUGGGAUAAUUUUUUUUGGUCCUUGAGAUAAUGGGCUAUUUAUUGUUUGGUCCUUAAACCUCAACUAUAAAUAGGCCUUCUCAUUUCUCAUUUCAAUUCAUCCCAACCAAUCUUUCUCUCUUAGUUUUCUCUCUUCUCCCAUUUGAGAAUUCUUAAGGAAUUCUGUUUGUUUGUAAUAUUUUGGAGAUAGUAAAGUUAUCAUCUGGUUUUAGUAGCCCGAGGACGUAGGUAUAAUUUAUUGAACCUCGUUAAAACUCUUGUGUUCUUUUUGUCCUAUUUUUCUUUCAAUAUUUGAGGGUAUAAUAGUAGUAUUUAAUUGUGCUAUUAAAUUACAUUAGAAGGAAUAUUCUGACUAAGGAAAGACUUGGUAUUUAAGAGAUCCUUGUGAUCCACCUCUCUUCCCUGGGAAUUGAACUUUGUGUGAUUUUUUAGUAUAAUAAUUUACACGCUUCCGACCCUAUUGGAACUACAUUAUAGCCCAGUUUCCUGUCAUGCUUUCCAAUAUUAGUGGCUUAUCCCCUUCGUACAUUUACAAAAACCUGUUGGAAGGCGUCGACGUGUACUGGUAUAUACCCUAUACUGAUUGGACUUUAAACCCGAUUCUCAAAGUGUAAGAGACUUCGAUCUUUAGAUUCUUUCAAUCUAUAACUUUUCAAGGUCUUAUUUAUUGAUUGGUUGCUUUUGUUUUUCCUUGGGGGGGUUAUUCUAGCCUGCUACAUUUGGUGAACUAUCUGCUACUUCCAAUUACAGCAUACAUAGUAAGCAAUGUGGCCUUUCUUCUACCGGGAAUCUUCGGCCAUUAUCCUUUUGGGAAAGGUUAAUCUUUCAGAUUUCAUAAGUAUCUUUAUUUAUUGGAUUUGCCCUUGAAUUGUAUUCGAGUUAGUAAUUUUAUUGUUCAAUUUGCGUUUUAAACAGGAGCCACCUUCGUUUGUCUUGCAGUAUCAGGUAAAUCUCUUUCCCUUCCCACUUUUUAUGUUAUCUUUAUAAAAUAAUCAUGAAUGCUGAUUUAUCCUUGUGUAUGCACCUUGAUGGGCAAGCAGGCAUAUUGUUAGCGAGAACUUUGUUGGGGAUAUUCUGCCUCAUUACACUUGUCAUACACAAACUAAAGAGGAGGCAUUUAUCGAUGGAUGAUAAUAUUGAAAACUUUCUUCAAAGUCAAAGUAAUUUAAUACCAAUUCGAUAUUCGUAUUCUGAAAUAAAAAGAAUUACGGAAGGUUUUAAAGUUAAAUUAGGUCAAGGAGGUUAUGGUUCUGUGUUUAAAGGAAAGCUUCGCAGUGGUCGGCUAGUGGCAAUAAAAAUGUUGGAUAAAUCCAAAGCAAAUGGGGAAGAUUUCAUCAAUGAAGUUGCUACUAUUGGAAGGAUUCAUCAUAUUAAUGUAGUGCAACUUAUUGGGUUUUGUGUAGAGAGAUCAAAACAAGCUCUUGUAUAUGAUUUUAUGGUGAAUGGGUCUUUGGAUAAAAUUAUAUUUUCAAAGGAGAAUUGCACUUUAAGUUGGCAAAAAUUAUUUGAGGUUGCAUUAGGUGUGGCUCGAGGGAUUGAGUACUUGCACAGGGGUUGUCAAAUGCAAAUUUUGCAUUUUGAUAUCAAGCCGCACAACAUUCUUUUGGAUGAAAACUUUAUCCCUAAAGUUUCUGAUUUUGGUCUUGCAAAAUUAUAUUCAGUGGAUGACAGUAUUAUUUCUCUCACAGCGGCUCGUGGUACAUUAGGAUACAUUACUCCUGAAUUAUUUUACAGAAAUAUUGGAGGCAUCUCAUAUAAAGCCGAUAUUUAUAGUUUUGGAAUGUUAUUAAUGGAAAUGGUGGGAAGAAGAAAGAAUUUGAAUGCAUUUGAUGAUCAUUCUAGUCAAAUCUAUUUUCCGUCAUGGAUUUAUGAUCGAUUUGAACAAAGAGAGAACAUAGAAUUAGGGGAUGUAACAGAAGUUGAUGACAAAAUAGCAAGGAAGAUGAUCAUGGUUGCAUUUUGGUGUAUACAAAUGAAUCCCACUAAUCGUCCUUCAAUGAGCAAAGUUUUGGAAAUGCUCGAAAAUGAACUUGAUCACCUUGAAUUGCCGUCCAGACCUUCACUAUUUUCUCUCGAAAAGUCAAUUGAAGAUCAUGUUAGUAAGAAUGUAUCGGAGGAACCAUCAACGUCAAAAAGUUGUGUGGACCUCUAAGUAUAAUGUUUGAUUUUAUUCGGUCCUUUUAUACAUAUAGUUCUGCAACUGUAAGCUUUUAAUUUGUAGCUUUUCAUGUUCAGUUGUAUAAUAUCCAGCAUCAUGUAAUACAACUAUUAAUGGAUGUGUGUUUUAGACUUUAGCUCCUUAGCUUCAUGUUUCAAUUAUUAAAAAUGUCUCCUUGUCACCGUAUGACGAGUUAAUAUCAAAUUUCGUUUACAAUUAUUUAGUAUAUAAGUAACUCUUAACAUUGCGUGAUCUCAUGAGAAGGUUUUUACUCUCGUAUCGUAAUAUAUAAUCAUGCUGAUAAGAGUAUUUUGUAAUAAUUAUGAGUGUGGUGUGACAGUUGCUCACUUUAUUUUUUAAUCAUGUAGCUCAUAGAAAUGGAACACCUUCCAAUGAUGAAUACCUUAAUUUUGACAAUUAAACAACAGUUAAGAUAGAAUCUUAUCAUUUAUUAGUAGAAUUUAUAUACCAACAGCCAUGCAGCGUUUCAUUUAUGAGUUCAAAUAAAAUCAAGUUUCAACUGAUUCUAGUACUACUAACAAUGAGGCUCGAGAUUGUUCUUAUUCCAUUUCUGAAAUAGUGGGUAGAUCUCUGUUAACCGGCUUCCUAGGUAUGGUGGCACCUAUCGUCUUCGGUGGAUCUAUCGACGCAAAAAGAUUUGGUGGCAUUGUAAGAACGUCAAGCUCUCCCUCUAACAUCUGAACCACCACUUUCAUCGAAGGACGAUCAACGGGAUACCACUGAAUGCACCAAAGUCCAACGAUCAUGAGUUUCUUUGCUAUCCCUGUUUGUGCAUCAUCUUCAAUUCGAAUCCCGAACUCCUCUCCUUUAUCCAAACGAUCAUAUGCCCAUUCUGGGAAAUACACUUGGCUUGUAUUCUCGACCGUAACAUCUAUGUUCUUUCUCCCCCCAACCAUUUCAAGCAACAGCAUUCCAAAACUAUAAACAUCAGACUUAUAUGACACAUUUCCGAAGUUGCGAGACAGUACCUCAGGUGCAAUAUAGCCCAUGGUACCUCUAGCUGUUGUCAUUGAAAUAGCACUUUGUUCCUUGGAACACAAUUUAGCAAGGCCGAAAUCAGAGACCUUAGGAUUGAAGUUGUGAUCAAGCAAAAUAUUGUGAGGUUUGAUGUCGAAAUGGAGGAUACGUUGCUCACAACCUUGAUGCAGGUACUCGAUGCCUUUGGCUACACCGACAGCAAUAUCCUGAAGUUUUUCCCAACUAAGGGAUCGAUCCUUGCCCUUGGCUGCAAAUAUGAACUUCUCUAAUGACUCGUUUGGUAAGUAUUGUUAAAGCAAAUAGAAACUAACACAGAAAGAAAUAAAAGAUCAAGAAGAGAAUUAUUGUUUUUCAUUGCUUUCAAAAUUGAUACGUGCAUGCAUUUAUACAAGUGAAGUCUAACUGACGUAAGCAAAGUAACUGCUAUUUAACUAACACCAGCUUUUAACAAACUAGCUACUUUUUGCAUGCAGUUACAACUGCAUUACUCUUAACAUUCCCCUAGUCAGUCGAUUUCUGAUUUUUAAGUUCAUCAGGCGACAAGACCCUAAGAGCAUAUCGAAACGUAGAAAACAUCUUAGGAGUAAUUGGUUUAGUUAGAACAUCUGCAAUUUGUUGAUCAGAUGGCACAAAAUUGACUUGUAAGUGACCUGCAAGGAUUUUUUCCCUGACAAAAUGGUGAUCGAUUUCAACAUGCUUCAUUCUAGCAUGAUGCGUGGGAUUCUCAGCCACAGAGACUGCAGAGGAAUUGUCGCACCACACAACUGGCACUUUGGAUGGAAAAAUGCCUAUUUCAGCCAACAAUUGUUGAAGCCAUAAGAGCUCAGAAACGCAAUUUGCGAGACUACGAUAUUCUGCUUCAGCAGAAGAUCUUGACACAACUGGCUGCUUCUUUGAACACCAAGCAACAGGAUUUGAGCCUAAGAACACAACAUACCCGGAGGUUGACCGUCGAUCCUCAAUGGAUGAUGCCCAGUCUGCAUCAGAGUAGCAUACUAGUUUGAGUUGACUGGGUGUUAGAAACAAACCAUGAUCUAUGGUACCAGCUAGGUAUCUCAGAACCCGUUUUAGUGCUCUCCAAUGAGCUUCUCUUGGAGCAUUCAUGAACUGGCUGAGUUUAUUGACACUAAACGACAGAUCCGGCCGUGUUAUACACACAUAUUGUAGCAUCCCUACAACACUUCUGUACAAGUGAACAUCUACCAAUGGAGGACUAUCAACUGAAGCGGCUAACUUUGGAUUGCUUACCAUAGGUGUUGGUGUGGGGGUGGCCUCGACUAGCCCAGUUUUUUUAAGUAAGUCAACAAUAUACUUCUUCUGACUGAGUAGAAUUCCCUGUUUAGUGUGCUGAACAUCAAUUCCCAGAAAGAAAUUGAGCUCUCCCAUAUCCUUGAGAGCAAAUUUGCUAUGAAGGUGAAGUAUGACAUCUGCCAUUUCUUGAUCAGAACUACCUGUGAGAACAAUGUCAUCAACAUAGACCAUGAGCAGAAGUUUCUUUCCAUCAGAUUCACGAAUAAACAAGGAGGAGUCAGCCUUGGAUGCUUGAAAACCAAGCUGAUCAACAAGGUACUGUUUAAGAGUUUGGAACCAUGCACGGGGUGCUUGUCGCAGACCAUAGAGAGCUUUGUGCAACUUACAAACGAGCUUCUGACUCGAGGAAUCACAUACUUCAAAACCAGGGGGUUGCUCCAUGUACAACUCUUCAGUCAGUUCUCCAUUGAGAAAGGCAUUAUUAAUGUCAACUUGCCUUAACGACCACCCAUUUAUAACAGCAAGAGCAAGAACCGUGCAAAUAGUGGAGGCUCGAACCACCGGACUAAACGUGUCACGGAAAUCAAAUCCUGCAUGUUGAGAGAAGCCUUUUGCUACCAGCCGAGCUUUGUAUCUGUCCACUGAUCCAUCAGCCUUUUUUCUUUAUCUUAAACAGCCACUUGCAUCCGACUGCCUUCCGAUUACUUGGUAGUGAGCAGAGUGUCCAAGUGUUAUUACGAGUCAAUGCCUGUAAUUCAUCACGAACAGCUGUUUGCCAGUCUGGAGAUGUCAUUGCAGUGUGAAUAUCAGAAGGAACCUCUGCUGAAGAGCAUUGGACUGUACUCAUAAAAACCUUUGGUUUGAAAGUUCCAACUUUACUUCUGGUAACCAUGGGAUGUAUGUUGAGGGAAUUUGAAUGAGAAGCUUGUAAUGUUUGAGGUGUAGGUGACAUUGAUGAGGUGGCUGACGUAGGGGUGAUAGGUGUUAACGUAUGAGGUGAAAGUGAAUUCGGUGAAAUAGUGGGGUUAGGUUGUUAUUGUACAGCUUGAUGGUCAGACAAGGAAAGAGGUGAUGUAGGUGAGGGACUAGGUGGUGUAGGUUGAUUAUGAAAAGAAGUGGUGGUAGGUGGGGUAGCAUGAGAUAUUUGUUUGAGAGGUAGGACCAGAAGUUUUGCACUAGACUGAGACACUGGGUUAGACGAGACAAGUGAUGGAGAAAAAACUUUAUAUGGGAAAAUGUGCUCAUAAAAUGUGACAUGACGUGUUACAUAGAUUUUUCCAGUUGUGUCCUGGCAUUUGUAGCCUUUAUGCAAUGAUGAGUAACCUAGGAACACACAGGGUGAAGACCGAAACUGGAGUUUGACUUUGUUAAAUGAUCUAAGAUUUGGGAAGCACAGGCAACCAAAAAUUCGAAGGAAUGCAUAGUCUGGCUUUGUUUUAAAUAGCUUCUCAUAAGGUGAUAUAUUUCCCAAAGGCUGAGAGGGUAACCUGUUGAUCAGGAAGACUGCGCUGCAAAAAGCUUCAUUUCAAAAUUUUAAAGGCAUGGUAGCAUGAGCAAGCAUGGACAGACCUGUUUCAACCACCUGUCUGUGUUUGCGCUCAACAAGGCCAUUCUGUGCAGAAGUGUAUGGACAAGAGAGACGCUGGACAAUCCCUUGCUGAGCUAGAUAGGGCUUUAAUGCCUGAAACUCUCCACCCCUAUCCGUUUGUAAAACAUGUAGCUUUGCUCCAAGAACUCGUUCAGCUUGACGAUGGAACUGAGGAAAAACAGUAGCAACCUCUGACUUGCUCUUCAAGAAGUAAAGCCAUGUAUAACGAGAAUAGGCAUCAGUGAAGGCAACGUAGUAACAAAAACCAUUAGAGACAAUUGGAGCUGGCCCCCAAACAUCAGCAACGAUCAACUGUAAAGGAGAGCUGUAUGUUGUAGUUGACUUGGAAAAAAGGGAGUUUAUGCUCUUUACCCAUAUGACAAGCAACACACUCAACAAGCUUUUUAUUAUCAGUAAACUGAAUAUUACAAUGUGAAAGAGCUUUUGUAAGAAUAGCACGACAGGGGUGCCCUAGCCGAGAGUGCCAAACAUUUAAAGGGAGCAUUUUGCUAACUGUAAGACAUUGAGCAUGUUUUGAAGACAGUCCACUUUGAGGAAGUUUGUUGAGAUGAAGCCUGUACAAGCCAUGAUGCACAGAACCCUUCAGGAGAACCUCUCUAGUCUGUAAAUCACGGACCUGACACUGAGUGGGAAAAAACUCAAACAUCACCCUGUUAUCUUUAGCAAACUUUGACACAGAUAAAAGAUUUUUAGUAAUACUAGGCACAAGCAACAAGGAUCUCAUAUACAAUGGUCGAGAUCAAGUAAUUAGUGAUGACUGCCCUGUAGACAGAACAGGAAGAGCAGAACCAUUGCCAACAAACACUUUACCUGGUCCUUUGUGUGAGUCACUGUCACUAAGAGAAGUAAUUGAAUUUGUAAGAUGAUGUGUGGCACCUGAGUCUGGGUACCAGGAGUUAUCAGCCACUGUUUCAGGAGUAGCCACAUAAGCCUGAGAUUGUGCUACGCCAGAGGAAGGCAUGCUGACCUGUUGAAAUGGGCUACCAACACACGGGUUAGGCCAGGUAGAUGGAGAGGGAAUUGGAAAACACCAACCUGGUGGAAACCACUGCAUAUUUUGUUGAGGAGGUGAUGACCACGGUAUUGUAGUGGGACUGGAGUUGACCAUACAAACGUUUGCUUGAGGAUGAGGCCGAUAGUUACUACUUUUGUAAGUGGAGUCAAACCGAUGGUAGCAGCGGUCGACUAGAUGCCCAGGCUUUCCACAUAGCUGACAUUGAAUCUUUGAGCCAGAGAAACGCCCUCGACCACGGCCCCGAGAACUAGUUGAUGAUUUGUAAGCAGGUACGGAACUAUUGUCAACAAUAGUUGUUUCUGAAUUCUGAUGAGACACCAUGUUGGCUGAGCUAGAAACAUCAGAGAUCACAACCUGUUGCCGAUUUUCAGUAUCAAGAAGCAUGGACGUGACUCCUUGAACUGUGUAAGGAACUUGACUUGCUGCAACAAUAGAAAUUACAGAUUCAUAUUCAGUAGAAAGACCAUUCAAGAUUGCUGUAACAUGCUCGCGCUCACUGAUAACUUCACCAUAACUAGCCAAAGCAUCACAACAACUCUUAACCUUCAUCAAGAACUCUUUCAUACUCAAGUCACCUUUGCGUUGGGAGUGCAAAGAUCUUCGAUGAAACAUUAAUUUGGAGGUUGUUUGCGUACCAUAUAAAGCAAUAAUAGCAUCCCAGAUUUUAGCACUGGUGUCCAUACCAAUGAGAUGAGGAAGAACAGUUGGAUUAAUCGAAGAUAGCAACCACGAUGCAAGCGCACUGUCUUGCUGUUCAUACCGCUCAAAUUCUGGAUUUUCCCGAAGACCACCAUUGUCACCUGCAAUAAACUGGACAGGAGUUUGCUGUGAGUCCAAGAACCCUUGAAGCUUAUGCGCUUUUAGUGCCAAGAGAACCUGUUGCCUCCACAGCAAAUAGGUAUUAUCAUCAAGAAGAAUACUAAUCUUCUUUGUAGAAAAUAACCUAUUGUCGACUACACCAUCAGCCGCAGCACAAUCCAUGACAACAAAAACAAAAGAGUAGCACAGCGGAUAGACGAGAAAGCUGACCCAGGAGAAGCCUUAAUCUGAUACCAUGUUAAAGCAAAUAGAAACUAACACAGAAAGAAAUAAAAGAUCAAGAAGAGAAUUAUUGUUUUUCAUUGCUUUCAAAACUGAUACGUGCAUGCAUUUAUACAAGUGAAGUCUAACUGACGUAAGCAAAGUAACUGCUAUUUAACUAACACCAGCUUUUAACAAACUAGCUACUUUUUGCAUGCAGUUACAACUGCAUUACUCUUAACAAGUAUUCAUAAACGAGAGCUCGGUCAUAUCCAUCGGCACAAAACCCAACAAGGCGAGUCACAUUCACAUGGUGGAUUCUGCCCAUCGAACCCACCUCGUUGACAAACUCUUCACCAUUUCCCUUGAAAUUAUUGAGUACCUUGACAGCAACUAAAACAUCACUGGAAAGCCUGCCUUUGAAGACAGUUCCAUAGCCUCCUUGUCCCAGUUUGUCCUUGAAAUGAUUAGUUAUCCUUUUAAUAUCAGCAUAGGAGUAUCUUGAGGGUUUAAGCUCUUUAUAAUCUUCCAAAAACUUUUCAAUCUUGACUUGACUUUCUUUCUCCUUUUUGUCUAACCGAUAUCUCCACCCAACUGCAAUGGCAAUGGUUGCAGCAAUUGAAGAACCCAACACAAUACCUGCAAAUCAGCAUACAUCCCUGUGUUAUAUCCUGUCUAAAAUUAUUGAAGCUAAAAGGGAAAUUCCAUUUACCUGCAACCAUUAGCCUUUCUCCCAAACCUGCCAAACAUUUAAAAUUAUUCAGCUUUGAUACAUGGGAAAUCUAAGAAAAGGGCUCACUGUAAGUUUACAACAUUAAGCUUCACUUUGAUGCAGGCUAAUGAUUUUUUUUUAUAGUUAUAAUAGUUAAAACAUACCUAUAUGGUGUUUGGGGAUAUCAAAACACUCGGUUUGUUCCUUGGUGCUAUUAUUGUUGUUCAAUCUACAUCCCCUUCCUUGAGCUUCGCAAUCACCACAGUCUGGUUUAUACCAACGUAAUUGAAAACGGUUACCAUAAGGAGAAAUGGGCGUUGAGAAGUUGCGAAAGUAGCUGCAAUUCAACAGGUUCUCUGGAUAAAUAGGGUCAUAAGAAGCAAAAGCUAUAAUUUGGGAGCCAGGGGUGCUUAAGCAAUCGACUCUGUUUCCUUCAUACAAAGCCUUAUCUUGGCUUGAACAUUCAAACAAGGCAUAGUUGGAUUCAGUUGGCUGGGAUAUAUAAACUUUUAGGCGGCUGAAACCUUGUUGUUCCACCGCGAAUGGAAAGGCAGAAAAAUUGAGAUCUAAAAGCUGCCGCCAGAGGCAACCGCCGGGAAAGUCCAAGUUAAUCCGCUGAGCUUCAUAAUCUAUGUGCUUCACCAACAGCUCCAGCGAACGUGGUAUCUUCAGCAGGGUCUGUUUGUUUUCUGAGCAGGAAAGCUGAAACCCAGGAUGAGGAUAGCCGCAGUGGGGUGACUGCUGGCCUUCUAAACGGAAGGGGAAAUGGACAGGUGGAUCCUGGUGGUUGCACCGCCGCGCCUUGCAGUCGUCUUGGAUUGGCACUGCUUCUGCAACAUCCACAGCUAAGAUAAAGCAGAAUAACGAGUAAAUUAACAUUGUUCUUACUAACUUGUGAGCCCCUGAAGUGAAACGGGCUUUAAAUAAUUUCAUUGACAUAGGUGGUUCAGCCCUUGAGAGUUCCAAUUAUGCACGCAACGCAGCUGCUGCUUUACCAUAUAGCUUUGUCUCGUUUAACAGGGUCUUCAACUCUCCGUCCUCUCUUUGUUCUCUUUUCUGAGUAAAUGUUAGACAUGUUUGAUUGUUAGCAACCCUUUCUAACUUUGUUACUAAUUUUCUUUUAUUCCCGUUAGUUGUAGUAAAAUUUGAGGGAAAAACACUGAACAUGAGAAUGAAUACCGAUUUGCUGUUGUGAUCAUAGUGGGGUCAGCUUGACUGACUCUUGUUUUUCCACCUUCGUUGAAGUUUCCUCUUCCCUUUAUAGUUUUUACUACAUUUUGUUUGGUAUGACUAAGUAGUUGACUGACUUUUAUGGGUUCUUUUUAAUGUCUAUCGUUUUUUUUCUAAUGUAGGUGAUUUUUUUCUCACUUUUUUUUUCUAAUUUAUCUUUUAUUUUUGGAUUUUAAUUCGAAAUCGCAAAACUUGAACCAUCAUAUGUUUUUAAAUUUUAAAUCACUUAUUUUAGAUAGAACAAAUUUUUUAAAAGUGGAUACAAGACAAAAUGACAUAAUUUUUUUAAUAUGAGUAUGGAACAAUUAUAGUCAUUGCUUGUUCUACUCGUCCUAUCUCGAAAUAAUCUUUUACCUUUUUUGUAUAUAAUUAUUAAAAUGAUAAAAAUGUAAUAAUAUAUUAUAGGAAAAAAAUCAUAUGUUUUAUAUUUAUAUUUUUAAAAAAUUAUGUUUAAAUACUUACUCGUCCUAUCUCGAAAUUUCUUGUAGUUAUACUGUCUUUGAGAUGUUUUUAUUCGCGAUUUUGAACUAAUUUUCUAAAUACCUAGGGGAGAUGAACCUUAUGAUGAAUUUUGUCUUUUGAUUUCUGUUUUAUGCAAUGAAUAAUUGAAUCUUAUUCUCAAUUAUGUGUGCUUAAUCCUUGAUUUAAGAUUUUCGAAUUAUUAAUUCAUGUUUGAUGUGCUUAAUUAAGAGUAGAUCUAGCAUAAUUGAGUGGAGUUGCAUGUAAUCCUAGAAAUAGGACGACAUAAAUCUAACGAAUUAGGUAUUCAUAAACGAGAACUCAAUCAUAUCCAUCAGCACAAAACCCAACCAGGCGAGUCACAUUCACAUGGUGGAUUCUACCUAUCGAACCCACCUCAUUGAUGAACUCUUAAUAUUUAACUAAAGUUUGCUUUCUACUUUUUUUUUAUUUCCAUUUUUAAGAAAAUGUUAUUUUAUUAAUUCAAUUAUCUAAAUUAAUAUUAUUUUAUUUAAAUUAUAUUAAUCCUCAUUUAAUUAUUACAAGUAUAUUAUUUUAAAAUUAUAAAAAAUAUUAUUUAAUAAAUUAAACAAAUAAACAUUUAAAAUCACAUACAUUACAUUAAAAACUAAUAUAUCUAAAUAUAUAUUUUACCACUUAUUUUAAUCUUGUUAUUUUUAAUUUCAUCAAAAUUAUAUAUCACUCGAGCCACUGCGACUGCUGACUGGUGAUUAUUGAAAGGUUCUGAAUUAAUACAUCCAAGACUUUUAUGAGCAUCGCCAUUGACUGACCGACGACUUGAAUUAAAGAAUUUUCCACAUUAGCUUUGUUAGUGGACUGAUUUUUCAAAGAAGGACUUGCUCUCAAUUGCAGCCAUAAAAUAAAUGAAUGAUUGGCAUUUUACAUUAAAGAACAUCCCAUUGUUUAUUUCUUCAUCGGAGCUCCACCGGAACUUGAUGAUGUUAAGACCCAGACUUGUCUUGUUUAGCAUCUUUGCCCUUACUUUAUCCCCAGAUGUUUCCGAUGGUAGAGCAGGCAAAAGCAACCACUGCGGCCCAUCUUUGUGUGGACACGUUAAUAUCAGUCACCCUUUCCGACUAAAAGGUCAGCCUCGUCGAUGUGGUGACCGUAGGUUUGAAUUAGAGUGCAAGAGAAACCGCACCAGUUUUCCCAUGAAAUACGGAAACUUUUAUGUCCUAAACAUCUCUUAUGUUGACCGAACGCUUCGACUUGUGGAUGUGAGUCUGGUCGAUGAAAACUGCUCAAUUCCUCGCAGUUCCAUUGUCGAUUCUUCAGACAGCUAUCUAGAACACAUAAUAGCGAAUGGAGCAGACACCAUGUAUCUGGUAAAUUGCACGACAAGUAUGAAGUCUUCUUCAGUUUAUGUCGAUGCUUCUCGUUGCCCAACCAAUAGCUCUUCUUCUCCUUGGACCUACUUCUACUUUCCGGUCUCGUUUUCAAAUAUAUCCGAUUUCGAUCAUUCGUGCAGAUUUAUAGCCCAGUUUCCUGUCAUGCUUUCCAAUAUUAGUGGCUUAUCCCCUUCUUACAUUUACAAAAACCUGUUGGAAGGCGUCGAGGUGUCCUGGUAUCGUUUUUGGCCUUCAAACCCGAUUCUCAAAGUGUAAGAGACUUCGAUCUUUAGAUUCUUUCAAUCUAUAACUUUUCAAGGCCUUAUUUAUUGAUUGGUUGCUUUUUUUUUUCCUGGGGGGGGGGGUAUUCUAGCUUGCUACAGUUGCUACUUCCAAUUGCAGCAUACAUAGUAACCAUUGCGAACUUUCUUCAGCAGGGAAGCAUCAACUAUUAUACUCCUUAUCAUAAAGGUUAAUGUUUCAGAUUUCAUAAGUAUCUGUAUUUAUUGGAUUUGCCCUUGAAUUGCAUUCAAGUUAGUAAUACUAUUGUUGAAUUGGUGUUUUAAACAGCAUCCUUCUUAGUUUGUCUUGCAGUAUCAGGUAAAUCUCUUUCCCCGCCCCACUUUUUUAUGUUAUCUUUAUAAAAUAAUCAUGAAUGCUGAUUUAUCCUUGUGUAUGCCCCUUGAUGGGCAAGCAGCUGGCAUAUUGUUAGCGAGAACUUUGUUGGGGAUAUUCUGCCUCAUUACACUUGUUAUACACAAACUAAGGAGGAGGCAUUUAUCGAUGGAUGAUAAUAUUGAGAACUUUCUUAAAAGUCAAAAUAAUUUAAUACCAAUUCGAUAUUCGUAUUCUGAAAUAAAAAGAAUUACGGAAGGUUUUAAAGUUAAAUUAGGUCAAGGAGGUUAUGGUUCUGUGUUUAAAGGAAAGCUUCGCAGUGGUCGGCUAGUGGCAAUAAAAAUGUUGGAUAAAUUCAAAGCAAAUGGAGAAGAUUUCAUCAAUGAAGUUGCUACUAUUGGAAGGAUUCAUCAUAUUAAUGUAGUGCAACUUAUUGGAUUUUGUGUAGAGAGAUCAAAACAAGCUCUUGUAUAUGAUUUUAUGGUGAAUGGGUCUUUGGAUAAAAUUAUAUUUUCAAAGGAGAAUUGCACUUUAAGUUGGCAAAAAUUAUUUGAGGUUGCACUAGGUGUGGCUCGAGGGAUUGAAUACUUGCACAGGGGUUGUCAAAUGCAAAUUUUGCAUUUUGAUAUCAAGCCGCACAACAUUCUUUUGGACGAAAACUUUAUCCCUAAAGUUUCUGAUUUUGGUCUUGCAAAAUUAUAUUCAGUGGAUGAUAGUAUUAUUUCUCUCACAGCGGCUCGUGGUACAUUAGGAUACAUUGCUCCUGAAUUAUUUUACAGAAAUAUUGGAGGCAUCUCAUAUAAAGCCGAUAUUUAUAGUUUUGGAAUGUUAUUAAUGGAAAUGGUGGGAAGAAGAAAGAAUUUGAAUGCAUUUGAUGAUCAUUCUAGUCAAAUUUAUUUUCCGUCAUGGAUUUAUGAUCGAUUUGAACAAAGAGAGAACAUAGAAUUAGGGGAUGAAACAGAAGUUGAUGACAAAAUAGCAAGGAAGAUGAUAAUGGUUGCAUUUUGGUGCAUACAAAUGAAUCCCACUAAUCGUCCUUCAAUGAGCAAAGUUUUGGAAAUGCUCGAAAAUGAACUUGAUCACCUUGAAUUACCGUCCAGACCUUCACUAUUUUCUCUCGAAAAGUCAAUUGAAGAUCAUGUUAGUAAGAAUGUAUCGGAGGAACCAUCAACGUCAAAAAGUUGUGUGGACCUCUAAGUAUAAUGUUUGAUUUUAUUCGGGCCUUUUAUACAUAUAGUUCUGCAACUGUAAGCUUUUAAUUUGUAGCAUUUCAUGUUCAGUUGUAUAAUAUCCAGCAUCAUGUAAUACAACUAUUAAUGGAUGUGUGUUUUAGACUUUAGCUCCUUAGCUUCAUGUUUCAAUUAUUAAAAAUGUCUCCCAGUCACCAUAUAAUGAGUUAAUAUCAAAUUCGUUUACAAUUAUUUAGUAUAUAAGUGACUCUUAACAUUGGGUGAUCUCAUGAGAAAGUUUUUACUGAUCUCUUAUUGUAAUAUGUAAUCAUGAUAAUUAUGAGUGUGGUGUGGCGGUUGCUCACUUCAUUUUUAAAUCAUUUAGUCAAGAAUUUGAGUUCCGCUCAAAGAAAUGGAACACUUACCAACUAUGAAUACCUUAAUUUUGACAAUUAAACAACAUUUAAGAUAGAAUCUUAUCAUUUAUUAGUAGAAUUUAUAUACCAACAGCCAUGCAGCAUUUCAUUUAUGAGUUCAUAUAAAAUCUUAGCAUUGGUGUAAUAUGAGUGUGCUAAUAGACGAUUUCAAGUUUCAACUGAUUCUAGUACUACUAAUAAUGAGGCUCGAGCUUGUUCUUAUUCCAUUUCUGAAAUAGUGGCUAGAUCUCUGUUAACCGGCUUCCUAGGUAUGGUGGCACCCAUCGUCUUCGUUGGAUCCGUCGACGCAAAAGGAUUUGGUGGCAUUGUAAGAACGUCAAGCUCUCCCUCUAACAUCUGAACCACCACUUUCAUCGAAGGACGAUCAACGGGAUACCACUGAAUGCACCAAAGUCCAACAAUCAUGAGUUUCUUUGCUAUCCCUGUUUGUGCAUCAUCUUCAAUUCGAAUCCCGAACUCCCCUCCUUUAUCCAAACGAUCAUAUGCCCAUUCUGGGAAAUACACUUGGCUUGUGUUCUCGACCGUAACAUCUAUGUUCUUUCUCCCCCCAACCAUUUCAAGCAACAGCAUUCCAAAACUAUAAACAUCAGAUUUAUAUGACACAUUUCCAAAGUUGCGAGACAGUACCUCUGGUGCAAUAUAGCCCAUGGUACCUCUAGCUGUUGUCAUUGAAAUAGCACUUUGUUCCUUGGAACACAAUUUAGCAAGGCCGAAAUCAGAGAUCUUAGGAUUGAAGUUGUGAUCAAGCAAAAUAUUGUGAGGUUUGAUGUCAAAAUGGAGGAUACGUUGCUCGCAACCUUGAUGCAGGUACUCAAUGCCUUUGGCUACACCGACAGCAAUAUCCUGAAGUUUUUCCCAACUCAGGGAUCGAUCCUUGCCCUUGGCUGAAAAUAUGAACUUCUCUAAUGACUCGUUUGGUAGGUAUUCAUAAACGAGAGCUCUGUCAUAUCCAUCGGCACAAAACCCAACCAGGCGAGUCACAUUCACAUGGUGGAUUCUGCCCAUCGAACCCACCUCGUUGAUGAACUCUUCACCAUUUCCCUUGAAAUUAUUGAGCACCUUGACAGCAACUAAAACAUCACUGGAAAGUCUGCCUUUGAAGACAGUUCCAUAGCCUCCUUGUCCCAGUUUGUCCUUGAAAUGAUUAGUUAUCCUUUUAAUAUCAGCAUAGGAGUAUCUUGAGGGUUUAAGCUCUUUAUAAUCUUCCAAAAACUUUUCAAUCUUGACUUGGCUUUCUUUCUCCUUUUUGUCUAACCGAUAUCUCCACCCAACUGCAAUGGCAAUGGUUGCAGCAAUUGAAGAACCCAACACAAUACCUGCAAAUCAGCAUACAUCCCUCUGUUAUAUCCCGUCUUAAAUUAUUGAAGCUAAAAGGGAAAUUUCAUUUACCUGCAAUCAUUAGCCUUUCUCCCAAACCUGCCAAGCAUUUAAAAUUAUUCAGCUUUGAUACAUGGGAAAUCUAAGAAAAGGGCUCACUGUAAGUUUACAACAUUAAGCUUCACGUUGAUGCAGGCUAAUGAAUUUUUUAACGUACGUUGUACAAUUAUAAUAGUUAAAACAUACCUAUAUGGUGCUUGGGGAUAUAAAAACACUCGGUUUGUUCCUUGGUGCUAUUAUUGUUGGUCAAUCUACAUCCCCUUCCUUGAGCUUCGCAAUCACCACAGUCUGGUUUAUACCAACGUAACUGAAAACGGAUACCAUAAGGAGAAAUGGGUGUUGAGAAGUUGCGAAAGUAGCUGCAAUUCAACAGGUUGAGUCCAUAAUAAUUUUCAUCAGAAGCAAAAGCUAUAAUUUAGGAGCCAGGGGUGCUUAAGCAAGCGACUCUAUAUCUUUUAUACAAAGCCUUCUCUUGGCUUAAACAUUCGAACAAGGUAUAGUUGGAUUCAGCUGGUUGGGAUCUAUAAUCUUUUAGGCCGCUGAAACCUGGUUGUUCCUCCGCGAAUGGAAAGGCAGAUAAAUUGAGAUCUAAAAGCUGCUGCCAGAGGCAACGGCCGGGAACGUAGAAGUCAAUCCGUUGAGCUUCAUAAUCUAUGUGCUUCACCAAUAGCUUCAGCGAACGUGGUAUCUUCAGCAGGGUCUGUUUGUUUUCUGAGCAGGAAAGCUGAAACCCAGGAUGAUGAUAGCCGCAGUGGGGAGACUGCUUGCCUUCUAAACGGAAGGGGAAACGGACAGGUGGAUCCUGGUGGUUGCACCGCCGCACCUUGCAGUCGUCUUGGAUUGGCACUGCUUCUGCAACAUUCACAGCUAAGAUAAAGCAGAAUAACGAGUAAAUUAACAUUGUUCUUACUAACUUGUGAGCCCCUGAAGUGAAACGGGCUUUAAAUAGUUUCAUUGACAUAGGUGGUUCAGCCCUUGAGAGUUCCAAUUAUGCACGCAACGCAGCUGCUGCUUUACUACAUAGCUUUGUCUCGUUUAACAGGGUCUUCAACUCUUCGUCCUCUCUUUGUCCUCUUUUAUGAGUAAAUGUUGGACAUGUUUGAUUGUUAGCAACCCUUUCUAACCUUGUUACUAAUUUUCUUUUAUUCCCGUUAGUUGUAGUAAAAUUUGAGGAAAAAACACUGAACAUGAGAAUGAAUACCGAUUUGCUGUUGUGAUCAUAGUGGGGUCAGCUUGACUGACUUUUGUUUUUCCACCUUCGUUUCACUACAUUUUGUUUGGUAUGACUAAGAAGUUGACUGACUUUUAUGGGUUCUUUUUAAUGUCUAUCGUUUCUUUUCUAAUGUAGGUGGUUUUUUUCUCACUUUCCUUUUUCUAAUUUAUCUUUUAUUUUUGGAUUUUAAUUAAAAAUGGCAAAACUCGAAUCAUAUGUUUUUAAAUUACUUAUUUUAGAUACAACAAAUUUUUUAAAAGUGGAUACAGGACAAAAUGAGAUGAUUUUUUUCACAUGAGUAUGAAACAAUUAUAGUCCCUAUCUCGAAAUAAUCUUUUACCUUUCUUUGUAUAUAAUUAUUAAAAUGAUAAAAAUGUAAUAAUAUAUUAUAGGAAAAAAUUCAUAUGUUUUAUAUUUAUAUUUUUAAAAAAUUAUGUUUAAAUGCUUACUUGUCUUAAAAAAAAGUAAAAUUAUUAAAAUAACUAGAAAUAAAAAUUAAAUUAAAGCAGAGCGAAACAAGGUGAGAUGGGAUGGGGAUGAAUGCUUUUAAUAUAUAUGCUGUGAUAGCGAUUUUUCAGAUUAUACAUUCCAAGUGGGGCGAGGCGGGUGGUGGAGUAAAGCAUGUCAACUGUGGAGCGAUGAUGGAUUUGACAACAUUUAACCUGUCUUGCUCCAUUGCAUGAUGCUUAAUAGGGUCUUCUUUUUUUAUUAAAUCAUCACAAUCAAUUUUGUAUUGAUACUGUUCAGAUCAACCAAAUCGAUUCAUUUAAGUAAUAAACCGAAACAAUAAAAUCUGCGGAUUAAAGCCUGUAAUCAAUGUGCACAGUAUCGCCCAAUGAGGUCAAUUGAUCAAAUGGGGCUCUUUUAACCCACUUGAAUUGGCAUGAUUAAUGGAACACAUGGAGAAGCCCAUCCACUUGAAGCAUUGGUGGCUUAGUGAAAUACUUUAGUAAAACUAGAGUUACCAUGGUGAAUAUUUGUAAUCCUAAGGGAUUAGAUUGUAUAGAGCUUAAAUCCCUUCGAACUCUCAUUUGUAGAUAGGUUUUAAUCUUGAUUGUUGAUGUAAUUUAAAUUGAGUUGUUGCAUCAGAGAGAUCUCAACUAUAAAUAAAGGUUUCCCCCUUCAUUUGCAAUCACUCAAUGUUUUUUCACUCAAAGUUACUAAAUAUAAUUGAGAGCAUUUACUCAAACAUACAUUACUUUCUUGUGGUUUCUCUAGUUCUUUCAUUGCUUCUUCACUUUUGUGUUUGCUUCCGCUAAGUUUUGGUGCCUUAGAGAAUUUCCUUGUGAUUUCUUACUUUUUGAGAUUUAGGUGGACUUAGGCGAAUUUAAAGCUAAGUUCUUGCCCAAUGUUGCACAGUUUGCCAGACUAAAGUUCUAGCCUUGUGACAGUUGGUAUCAAGAGCUAGUGAUUGGUAAGGCGUUAAUUGAGAUGGAGAAAGAAGUAAAUAAUCAAGAGCUCGUGACCGUUGGCAUCACGAACUAGUGUUUGGGUAGGAAAGCUAGUAGAUCAAGGGAUAUAUUGUUAGGUUUGGAAGGUUGAGUGACCAACUUCAAGGAAUUCAUGGGUGGCAUGAAGGAAACACUCAAAGUAGUUAAGGGACACACCACAGAGCUGGACUUAGUGAAAGAGUAACUCAAGGGAUAGGUGGCAGAGGCUCUCAGUACUAGUGUGGACGCACUGCAAGGGGUUCUCAAUACCUCUGUGGGUAAGUUGACAAAGAGAGGUGAUACUCUUAAGGACGUGGUGACAAAUUUGAAGGAACAAAUUGAAUAUUUCAAGAAGGAGCUUGUUAUCUGUAAAAUUGCUUUAGGUAAUGACGUGUUGGCUACGAUACCCAAGCCUAAGGUCGAUACCUUCAAGCCGAAAGAAUUUAAGGGGAUGAGAUCCGAAAUAGAUGUGAAUAACUUUUUAUAAGGAAUGGAAUAAAACCUUCGUGCUAGAGGCAUCAAAGAUGCUGCUACUAAGGUAAAUAUUGCAUCUAUUGUAACAGCUCGAUUUAUGGGUCUAGUCAGAGCAGUGGUUUCGGGACCACAAAUCCGAAGUUAAAAUUCUUAUUUUAUUAUUUUAAUAUCUACAGUAUGAUAUUAUUAUUGUGUAAAAAUUUCGUGAAGAAAUUUUAUCAAUUGGGUGCUUAAUUUGAUAAAAAGGACUAAAUCGCGUAAAGUGCGAAAGUUGCAUUCUAUAUGUAAAGGUGUCUAAUAGCUAUAGAAUUUUAAAUUGAAGGUCCUUAUGUGAUAAAUAACCCAUUAUUGAGAUAUUGGAUGUUAUUAGAGUGGCAUUUGGUGUAGUUAUUAGGGUUAUUAAAGGUUAAAUGAGUAAAACGACAUUAUAUGUUAAAUUAAAUAAAACAAAUUGUGUCAUCUUCUUUCACUAUCCAUCUUCACCAAAAUUUCAACCUAAAAUCAGCCAUGGGAGAGCUUGUUAUUCUGCCAAACUUUGAAGACAAAUUGGUGAGUGGUUUUUGCUUGGUUUUUAAUAAUUUCUAUAUUUUUGAUAUCGUUGCUUCGUAAUCUAGCUAACCCGUACCUCCGUUUCUAAAACUGUUAAAGAUUUUUUGAAUUUCCAUUGUUGAAUACUUGAGCUCUUUGAUAUUUUUUGAUGAAAUAUGAAUAUUUUAUGUUAGAUUUUCAUCUUUUAUAAAGUGAUUUUUGAUAAAAAUGUCAAUUAGGGAUUAAAUUGUGAAAUGUGGAAAUUUAGUGGUUAAAAUGUGAAAUAAAUUGAAAAUAUGGGCUGCUAGUGAUAUAUGGAAAAUUCAGCUAGCUUGGAUUUGUGUUUAAUUUCAUAAAAUUGUGAUUUUAUGUUAUAAGGACUAAAUUAUAAAAAUGUGAAAUUAUAGGGGUAAAAGUGUAAAUAUUCUUUAAGGUAAAUUUUGGAUUAAAUUUAAUUGAGAGAUAAUUAAAUAAGCUUAUUUUGAUUAUAUUUAGAUCGAGAAAAGUGAAAUACGGAUCUAGAUUGGGGAAAAGAUAAAGUAUCGGACCAGUCAAUUCGUUCCGUCGUUUUAGCAAUCGAGGUAAGUUCGUGUAAUCAAACUUCAGUGUAUAUUUAGGUAAUUGAUGAAUGAUAGUAUGAAUUUAUUCAUAUAAUCAAUUUAAUUAUGGAGCUUAAAUUAAACGUUCGAUAUAAGUAAAAAUGUAGGAUCAAACACAAUCGUUUCGCAACGAAAGACGAAUUGGCAGAAAAAACCAUGGUUGGACCAUGGCAUUACAUGAUUUCGUAUAAGACCAUAGCUGGGCUAUGACAUCGAUAUAUGAGACUUUGUGUAAGACCAUAUCUAGGAUAUGGCAUCGAUAUAUGUGAUUACGUGUAAGACCAUAUCUGGAACAUUGGCAUCGAUAUAUGAUUCGUGUAAGACCAUAGCUGGGCUAUUGGCACCGAUAUGUGAUAACAUGUAAGACCAUAUGUGGGAUAUGGAAUUGUAUGUGAUAUACGAGACUUUCGAGUAUCCUUAACGAUUAUGAAUGGUUCGUCACGCAAAGUUAAGACAAGAAUGAAAGUUCAAUUGAAUUAAGCAAAACAGGUACGUUCAGAACCUAUGUGAGAGUUAAAUGAAGGUAAUUUAAUGAGAAUUAUUAGUGUAUAAUUAUAUUUUAUGCCAAAAUGUGUUUAUUUGGCUAUAGUGAGGUAUGAAUUGAAUGAUAUGUGUGAUAUGAGCAAUGAUUGUGUUAAUUAUAUGAAUAUGGCACAUUGAGUGAGAAUUACAAUUAUUUAACGAUAAUUUACAUGAUUCUUUCGGCUAAAGAAAUGUGAUGAAUAAUGGAUCAAAUAAAGUUAUACAUUGUUGCUUAUGUAUUUGUAAAUGAGAAUGAAGUGAUAAGAAGUUUAAGAGGCAUACGAGCUUUGAAAGGAAUAAACUCGUGGAAAUCUUGUUUGAUCAUAUGCAUGAAUAUGAGGUAGAAUUGUGAAAUCAAAUGAGUUAUAUUAUGACUUGAUGCAAUUGCUUGUAAUGUGGUUAUUUAGUAAUAAGAGUUAUGAUAUUACAAGCUUACUAAGCUUUAUAGCUUACCUGGUGUUAUUUUUUUAUGUUUUACAGUGUUUGGGACGUUCGCUCGGGUUGGAAGUCGACAGAGAUUGCAUCACACUAUCCAGCUAAUAAUUUCGGUAUUUAUAUACUUUGUGACUUGGUUAUAUGGCAUGUAUAUGCUAUGGUUAUUUUGGUUUACUAUGGAAAGUGUAUUUGGCCAUAUGGUUUGGCUUGUUUUAAGUAUGUAUUUGAUUAUUUUGUAUAGGCUAGUUUUUAAUAUGUUUGGUUUUGAUGAUAUGUAUAUAUUCAGCCAUGCAAAAAUGGCAUGAUUAUAAUGCUAAUGGUUGUGUAAAUUUGAUCAUGGUAUAAGCACAUUUCUGUAAGUAUGUCCCUUGACAUGUAUGAAUGGUGUUCUGGUUAUAUGUCUUGGUUGAGUAAUGAUAUGAAUGACUUAUAAAUAGCUCAUUUAGUAAGCUUGAUACAUGAUUUAAUUUGUAUUUGUGAUUGGUCUUGUGAUUUGGGUUGGAAUGGUUAAGUAGGCAUAUGUGGUAUGCUUGUUUGAGUGAGUUUUUAGGUACAGCUCAUGAUGGAAAUGGUAUGAAUUUUUGGAGGCUAAUUUGAUGAUCAAAUAUAGGAUUAAAUGAUUUAGUUGUGUAUAUGAAAUUUUGGCAUGGUACAUAGUAUAUGAAAUUGGCAUGUUUAAAUUGUAACAGCCCGAUUUUGGGUCUAGUUGGAACAGUGUUUUCGGGACCACAAAUUCGACGAGGAAAAAUGUAAUGGCCUGAAUUUUUAGGGGUGUCGGAACGGUGAUUCGAGAUCACUAAAUCCAAAAAAAUGAGUAGAAAAUAUUAUUAAUUUAGUGAGUAUAAGUAAAUGUGAAGUUAAGAAAAUUUUUGAAAUAGUGAAUAGUGCACUAGAAAUAAAUAUUAAAAUAAUUAGAAUAAAAAAACGAGGUAUCGAGACCUCAGAGAUUUUAAACCGAGCCAUAAAUAUUUUUAUAAAUAUUUAUGGAGUGUUAAAAAGUUAGUAUUAAAUUUUCGUUAAGAAAUUUUAAAGUUUCGAUAAUUAAUUGAACAAAAAUGACUAAAUUGUAACAAAUGCAAAAUUAUAGGAAAUGAUUAAAUAGCUUAAAUGAUAAAAGGAAGAGGGCUUAAAAAGCAAAUAGACCCAAUGUCUGGACGUCAAAGGCAUGAAAUCAACAAGAAAGUAAGGAGAAUUAAGGGCAAAAUUGGAAUACUACAAAAUUACUUAAUAAAGCUAGGAUCAAAGUGGAAUUAUCUAGAUUUCUCUUUAUUUUUCUGCAUUCUCAUCAGCUAAAACACCAUAGAAGGGUUUCCUUAAGUUGGUUUUUCAUAUUUUUACUGCAAGUAAGUUCAAUUCUUGAUUAUUUCUUGAAAUUUUUGUGUUUUUGUGACUUUUACAACUAGGCCCACUUGUUGAAUUCAUUAGUUUUUGAUUCUAUGAAAGAAGUUGAAAGUUGCUAUGAAUAUGUGCUGGAAGUAUAUGAUGAUUUAGCAUGGAAUUAGAGCUUUAAAUUGUUUCUAUGCUGAUUUUAUUGAAAGAAUUGAAUAAAAAGUGAAUAUUUGGGACCUAAUAGUAAAAGAGUUUGAAGUUAGGGUUUUAUGAGGAAAUUCUGAAUUUCAAUAGUUAUGAAUAACUUAUAAUGUCUAAGUAAAGUACUAAUUGAGAAAAAUUAGCUUAAUUGAGGGGUUAAUUAAACAAUGACUGAAUUGUAUGAAUUGUAAAUUUUGAAAUAUAAUAAAUUUUGUGAGACAAGGUCAGAAUGAUUUCGGGUUCCCCUGUUCUGACUUUGGAAAAUCAUCAAAAAUUUAAGAAAAAUAAUUAGGGGCUUAAAUUUAUAUAUUUAAAAUCCUGAAUAAGUCUAUUUUCAAGAGAAACAAACGGAAACAUCAUCCGAAUCCCGUAAGAGGAAAUAAUUAUUUUUUAGUGAAGAAGGGUCGGAACUGUCUAAUAGUGAAACAGGGGAGAAUUUAAAGAAUAAACUGUACUUAUUGGCUAAGCCAAAAAUUCUAAAACUUUUAUGGUAAAAAUAUAUAUGAGUCUAGUUUCUGGGAAAAUUAACGGAUCUUAAUUUGGAGUUUCGUAGCUCAAGAUAUAAAUAAUUUAGUGACUCUGACUCGGAUAGACAGCUUUGAAUUUACUUAUAAGUAAAUAGUGAAAAUGUAGUUAAUGUUAUUUAAGUGUGUUAUAUACAUUAAAGAUGUGAAAUAGAGAGGAGGAGGAGGAAAAUUAGAAAAUAUAUGAAUGACUUGUGUAUAAAUCGGUCAUAUAUUCGAUCAUAAUCGAUAAAUGUUGAAUUAGAAAUGAUGUAAUGUUUUAUUUCAAAUAGUUACUAUGAGAUUGAUGAUGAUCUGACUUUAGCUAAAUUAAAAGCUAAAGCGAUAUUUUCAUUGCAAAAUUAAUAAUUUUAUAAAUGUGUUAAUGAAUAGCAUAAUCGAUAAAUUUGAGUUAAAUGGUAAAUACGUAUUAGUAUUGAACUUAAUGAUAUUGAAUUGUAUGAGAAGUAAAUGGAAAUUUCUAUUGCUAGUGAUAUGAUUUUAAUUAAAAGAAUUAUUGUGAUAUUAAAAUGUAUAUUGGAUUGAGAAAUUGAUUUGAAUUGUGAACAUGAGAAAUUAUGAAUUGAAUGAAAUGGAAAUGAAGCAUUAAAUUGUUAAGACUUGUGAAUUGCAUGAAUAUAAAUCGAGUCUCGUAGGCCCUAUUUAUUAUGAAUAUAAUAUUUAGAGGAUAUAUUGUGAAGAAUUAUAAAAGCAUGUUAAAAAUUUAAAAGUUUUAAUUUAGAUGAAAUUUUAUAAUAUGGUUAAAUACGUUUACAAGUGUAUGUGUUCUAGUAAUGCAUCACACCCUAUUCCGGCGACGGAUACGGGUAAGGGGUGUUGCAUAAAUUCAGUUAUUUUACUUAGAAAAUUACUAAAGUUAGUCGAGUAAGUAGUGUAUGGAUUGGUUAUACUUACAAUUGAGAUUCGAUCAUUUGGGUAAUGCUUGUAGGCAUUUGUAUAAUUUUGCCCAUUUUGCAGCAUAGUAUAGUUCAACUUAAGCUAGUAUGUGCAUGUACAAAGCUCAUAACUAAUAUAUUUGAUAUUAGUUAAUAUUAUGAAUUGAUAUGGCUAGUUGUGGCUUAAAUAUGCACACGUGGGAAAGCUUAUAGAAAGGAUGUAUUGUUGUAAGCUAAGUAUAUGAAAGUGACAUAUGAUUGAUACUUAUUUAGGUAUCUAAAUGCCUUAUUAUAUAGUCAUAAGGUUCGACUAAUAGAAUUAUAAUGUAUAUGUAUUAUGAUAUGAUGUUUUAUAAUAGUAAAAUAUGUUUGGUUAGUUGGUUAAGUGGUACACAUGUAUGAUUGUUAUAGAUUGAUGACCAUAUGGUUUGAAUUUGGUAAUUAUGGAACUAGUUCAAUUUGGUUUUUCGUAAGUUACCUUGAUGAAAAAUUUGAUUUGGUAAUCGGAAUGAAAUUGGUUGAAUUUUGAUAUAUGCUUUAUUUGUGAUAUAUGACUAUUAAAGUAUGAUUGAUUUGGAUUGGCUUUAUGAUUCAUAUGUUCGAAUUUAGUAUAAAUGAUUUGUGGACAUUCAAGUUUAAUAAUGUUAUAAUUGUAUCUUGAUAAUUCGGUACAUGAAAGUAAAAUAUGACUUUGAUGUAUGUUAGUUAAUAUUACUUAUUGUAUGUUUAGAAAUGAAUGACUCUCUGAGCUGUAUUUUGAUUGGUAAUGCCUCGUAACCCUAAUCUAGUGAUGGAUACGAGUUAGGGGUGUUACAUCUAUGUAUUUUAUUGAUGUCGCUCUUUUAUAGUGACAUUGUAGGUCCACAGAUGAGAAACAAGGUGGAGCCACAAUUGGGACUUGGGAGGAGUUUCAAAAAGAAUUCAAGGGGCAAUUUUACCGAGAAUAUGUCGAGGAUGAGGCUCAGGUUAAGUUGCGUCGACUUACGUAACAAGGCAUAAUCAGGGAGUAUAUGAAGGAGUUUAGUGGAUCAUGUUCUAUAUUUUUUAUUUGGGUGAGAAAAAGACAUUUUUCUCCCUUAUGGAUAGGCUGAAACCUUGGGCGGAGCAACAAUUGCAACGUCGAGCAGUCAAAGAACUUAUCAAAGCAAUGAUCGUAGCAAAGUCCUUAAUUAAGUUUGUUCCGAGGAAAGACGAGUUCAAGUCUUCCAAGACCAAUGAGACGGGUAAUGUUGUGGGAGACAAAGAAUGACAUGUUAAAAAUGACAAUGGUGAAAAUGGUGGUAAUGAGAAACUACAAAAUAAGAAGUGAAUCCGGAAGGCCCCUAUAUUAUAGGGAUUAUAUCAAAUUAGUCUCUCUAUAAAUGUACAAUUUAGUCAAAAAGAAUCAAAUAAGCCUUAAUUGUAAUAGAGUGAUCUAUCAAGUAUAGUCACCUUUUCUAAAACCAUUAGUUUGAAGUCAUUUUCAUUCUCUCUUCUUGAUAUGUCUUCUUGUUUUUUUUAAUUAUUUUGAAGGAUUAUCUUCAAUCCCAACCUUUAUUUUUUAAAUGUCUUCUUUUUGGUUAUUAUAAAAAAUCAUCUUCAAUCACAAUCAAAUUGGAAUCUUCAUUCUUUUUAAAAUUUUUGAGGUAACUAAUAGUCCUUAAACUUCUUCAAGCUUUUGUAACACCCCUUAAAUUUUACAGUAUGGUAAACAACACUAUUCUAAGAAUCACUACAAUGAAUUUUUGAGAAAAUUCAAUAAUGAGAAAAUAAAGAGAGUUUUUAGAAGGGACUAUAAUUAUUUAUUUUUGGAAAUCAAUGAAGUAAAUUUGGUAUGUGGAAUUGUGAAAAAAAUGACUAAAUUGUAAAAUUAAGAAAGUAAGAGAACUAAAGUAUAAAGUAACUAAUUUGAGAAAUUAUGGAUUGAUAAUGAUUUGUAAAUAUUAAGCCGACAUGAGACAUGUAUUAUCAAGGAAAAGCAAGUUUGGACUUAAUUGAAUAAAAUGAAAAGUAUAGGGCUCAAAUUACAAACUUCUCAUUUUGACUAGAAUAUAGGUAAAAGUAUCAUUUUCACCAUUUAUGGACUUAUUUAAGGGAUAUAUUUGAAUUUUGAUUUUUUGUUUGGAUAAGUGCUCAUUGUUGUAAAGAAAUUGUACAAAUAAACAAAAAGAAUAAUAUGAUAAGUUUGCCAUAAUCGGAUACUUUAGUCAUUUAUCAAGUACUUUACGAUGGAAAUAUUAUUUUAUUGGUAUUUUUAAUGUAUGGAAUUAAUUUGAAUUUUUAUGAUGAUAUGAGAGAAGAUAUAAAGUGUUAAGUGUCAUAUUUGGUAUUAAUUAAAGAGAAGUGAUAAGAGAAGGGACAAAGGUACAAUUUUACCAUUAAAAAUAUAUUUUGGGACUUAUCAUGAAUAUUUUAAUGAAAUUAUGGACUUUAUUUUAAUUGUGUUAUUAUGAGAAAAUUUAUGGUCAUAUAUUCCGGAUUUUUCAUUCAUGAAUCAAGGUAGAUUACUUGAGGUGAAUCUAGGGAGGCUGGCAGGGGCCCCGACCUCCCCUAAAAUGAAAAAUUGUUGUUUUAGCCUUUUAGAAAAUUUUAAAAUUUUAAAUUAAUAAAUAUAAAAUUGCACUUUUGGUGCCUCCUAAAAUUAUAAAAAUUUAAUUUAAUCCUUUAAAAAUUAUAAAGAUAUAGACUAUUAAAAAUUAAAAUUUCAUUUCGGCUCUCCCUAAUUUUUUUUUUUGGUUUCACCUAUGUAGACUACCCAUUUAAAAAUUUGUUUGACUUUGACUAAUCAAAUUAUGAUUUUUUUCCUCUCAUGUGUCGUCCCUCUCUCCUUAAGAAUUGAAAAUAUAUGUCGAAUAAUAUAAAUAUGAAAAUUGCCUCAACCUACUGCAAUUAUCUAAGGAGUAACCACUUCCUCAAGCACUCAUCUAAUUUUUCUAUAAUUUUCAGUAACUUCAAUAACUUCAAAUAUUUGUUGAGGUUUAGGAUGAAUAUUGUGAAGUGUUUUUUUAGGGAUAAUGAAUACAAAGCAAUUUAUGAGAAAAAAUGGAAUAUUACAACAAACACCUAAAAACAGAAACAAAUGUUGGCUAGAAAAUAUAAAAGUUUAAGCCAAUCGAGUCUUAGCUCGAUUGGUAUAGGUAUGUUGACAAUGCAGGAAGACGUGAGUUCGAGUGCGAUGAAAUGCAUUAUCUUCCUAUUUAUGGGUUGGGAUAGGACUAUGAGUAGUUCUAGAUAUUGUGUCAAAAAGAGCAGAUAUGAUCAGAACUUAUAAUGAGAUUGUUCAAAAAAAAGAAUUUUAUCGGGUGUUAGUAUAAGUGGCAUAAAACCAGUGAAUAGAGUUAACAAUUGAACCUGAAUUUUAAAUUUUAAAAAAUACAAGUACUAAAUUCCUAAAAAUACAAAGACCAAGUUCUUAACUUUCAAAAAGUACAAGGACUAUAACCACAUUUUAACCUUUCAUUAAUUAAAGGUUUGUCAAAGUUGAAGCUUAAUUCAAUGAUCUAUGUUAUAAAAUAUAUCUUAACCCGGCCACCUUAAGCUUUUAUUAUGGUCUAUUAAUUUAUGUUCACGACCACCUUCAACUUUUUUAUGAUCCACUAAUUUACAAUCAUAAACUUAGACUUUCUUACAGUCUAUUGAUUUAUGAUCAUGACCUUUUACUUACGAGAUUUUAUUAAUCUCACGGUCCGCUAAUUUACGAUCAUGACAUUUUACUUACAAGAUUUUAUGAAUCUCGCAAUUAGCUGAUUUACGAUCACAAAAUUUAACUUUCUUAUAAUCCACUAAUUUACAAUCACAACAUUUUACUUACAAUUUGCAAUAGUCAAUAAAUUUUCGAGUUCAAACUUGCUUGGUAAACCCUUAGUUACAUGUAUGCGUGUAAAUUUAUCUCCAAAGACUCAAUUUAUAACUCUACUUCAAUAAGUUAGGAGACAAAUUGUUAUAAAAUAAUCUUAACCUGACCCAAGAUCCAAUUCAAAAUCCAAGCCGGAAGAAACCACCUUAUAUACAUUUCUAAAUACCCUCUUAAGAAUACCGACUCGAGAGAAUAUCUUUUAUCUUCCUCUUCACCCUAACAUAUUUUUUCUCCCUACCCCACCCAACCAGAAACUGUAACAACAAUCUAUAUUGUAAACUGGGAAUAUCAAAUUGCUCUAAUCAUGCAAAUAAGUUGUUAGUUUUAGUUGCCUUAAAACAACUUUUGUACCGAUAUUUAUAAAUUUAUUUAUAUUUUAUCUAUAAUAUACCAACAGAACUUUAUGGUGUUCAAGUAAAAGCACCAAGAAAAAUGCAAUCAAAUGUCUGACCCAACUCCAUCCCCAACCAGUGGUUAAACCAAAUCCUUCAGUUAGCAAUUCCAGAUUCAGACAAAACACACGACUGUGCUACGUCUUUCCUAACUCGACCACAAUCACACUAAUGUUGUCUUUGCUACCCCUAGACAUUGCGAGUUCAACCAACACCGCCGCUGCUUCAGAAGCGCGGUUUUGAUUCAAAACAUCAGCUGUUUUGCUCCUUAUUUGGCCGUUCAGACAUCGCCUUACCACUCGACACGCCACCUCAUUCGAUACCACAUCCCAAAGUCCGUCACUAGCCAGUAUCAGGAACUCGUCACCAUUCGUUACCUCUCGUACGGUCACUUCCGGUUUGCAUAUCACAAAGGGUUUGAGGUACUGAUUACCUGCUUGCAUUCCAUUCCAAAUUACAUUACAUAUGAAUAGAAUAUUAUGUACGUAAUUGCAAAUAUAUUUGGUUACCUAUGGAUCUUGAAGUGGCCAGUACUCCAAGCACUCGAUAUCCAUUCCAGUUUAUGACCCUUCCACCAGCAGCUUCAACUCUCUCCAACUCAUCAGGCCUGUCGGGCUUUGCAAAAACAAAGUGUCAACAUGGGAGGCCACCACCACUACCUGCCCCUUUAUCUUCGUCCUUAAGCUCAGUAUAAUAUGCUAUUGAAUAAUUUUUUUUUUCAUUCCAAUAAAAUCCGUAGGACCAAGUUCUAUACUUAUAAAAGCUGUACAUCGCAAUAAUAACAGUUUGGAAGGAGCGACAAUAGAUAGUAUAUAAACAUAAUGAUUAAGCAUGCAUCAAUAUAGGUCAAAGUAGAGGCAAAGAAAACAAGUGUAAAGAAAAAGGGGGCAAAUUGAAAGAGUUGUAAAGUUAAAUUAGUAUAUAAAUAUAAGCAUCAUCCUUGAUUACCCUAAAGGGAUGGCGAGCUUAAUCCUCUUAUUGCUAAUUAGACAUUAUUUGUGGAAAACGAAGAGCUUCAGUCUAGCUUUGAGAUUCAGAUACUUCCACUCAUUUCCCAUAUAUAUGAAGUUACACCUCCAUCGAAUUGAAGAUUUCAUGGUUUCAUAGUUUCCAAUUAAAUCUUUAAGAAUAUUCAACAGGUUGAGUCCAUAAUAAUUUUCAUCAGAAGCAAAAGCUAUAAUUUGGGAGCCAGGGGUGCUUAAGCAAGCGACUCUAUAUCUUUUAUACAAAGCCUUCUCUUGGCUUAAACAUUCGAACAAGGUAUAGUUGGAUUCAGCUGGUUGGGAUCUAUAAUCUUUUAGGCCGCUGAAACUUGGUUGUUCCUCCGCGAAUGGAAAGGCAGAUAAAUUGAGAUCUAAAAGCUGCUGCCAGAGGCAACGGCCGGGAACGUAGAAGUCAAUCCGUUGAGCUUCAUAAUCUAUGUGCUUCACCAAUAGCUUCAGCGAACGUGGUAUCUUCAGCAGGGUCUGUUUGUUUUCUGAGCAGGAAAGCUGAAACCCAGGAUGAGGAUAGCCGCAGUGGGGAGACUGCUGGCCUUCUAAACGGAAGGGGAAACGGACAGGUGGAUCCUGGUGGUUGCACCGCCGCACCUUGCAGUCGUCUUGGAUUGGCACUGCUUCUGCAACAUUCACAGCUAAGAUAAAGCAGAAUAACGAGUAAAUUAACAUUGUUCUUACUAACUUGUGAGCCCCUGAAGUGAAACGGGCUUUAAAUAGUUUCAUUGACAUAGGUGGUUCAGCCCUUGAGAGUUCCAAUUAUGCACGCAACGCAGCUGCUGCUUUACUACAUAGCUUUGUCUCGUUUAACAGGGUCUUCAACUCUUCGUCCUCUCUUUGUCCUCUUUUAUGAGUAAAUGUUGGACAUGUUUGAUUGUUAGCAACCCUUUCUAACCUUGUUACUAAUUUUCUUUUAUUCCCGUUAGUUGUAGUAAAAUUUGAGGAAAAAACACUGAACAUGAGAAUGACUACCGAUUUGCUGUUGUGAUCAUAGUGGGGUCAGCUUGACUGACUUUUGUUUUUCCACCUUCGUUUCACUACAUUUUGUUUGGUAUGACUAAGAAGUUGACUGACUUUUAUGGGUUCUUUUUAAUGUCUAUCGUUUCCUUUCCAAUGUAGGUGGUUUUUUUAUCACUUUCUUUUUUUUCUAAUUUAUCUUUUAUUUUUGGAUUUUAAUUAAAAAUGGCAAAACUCGAAUCAUAUGUUUUUAAAUUACUUCUUUUAGAUACAACAAAUUUUUUAGAAGUGGAUACAAGACAAUGAGAUGAUUUUUUCCACAUGAGUAUGAAACAAUUAUAGGCAUUGUUUGCUCUACUCACCUUAUCUCGAAAUAAUCUUUUACCUUUCUUUGUAUAUAAUUAUUAAAAUGAUAAAAAUGUAAUAAUAUAUUAUAGGAAAAAUUCAUAUGUUUUAUAUUUAUAUUUUUAAAAAAUUAUGUUUAAAUAUUUUCUUGUCUUAAAAAAAGUAAAAUUAUUAAAAUAACUAGAAAUAAAAAUUAAAUUAAAGUAGAGCGAAGAAAGGUGAGAUGGGAUGGGGAUGAAUGCUUCUAAUAUCUAUGCGGUUAUAGUAAUUUUUCAGAUUAUACAUCCAAAGUGGAGAGAGGUGGGUGGUGGAGUAAAGCAUGUCAACUGUGGAGCGAUGAUGGAUUUGACAACAUUUAACCUGUCUUGCUCCAUUGCAUAAUGCUUAAUAGUAUGCCUUCUUUUUUUAUUAAAUCAUUACAAUCAAUUUUGAAUUGAUACUGUUCAGAUAAACCAAAUAGUUUCAUUUAAGUGAUAAAUCGAAACAAUAAAAUCUGUGGAUCAAAGUCUAUAAUCAAUGUGCAUAGUAUCGCCCAAUUGAUCAAAUAGGACUCUUUUAACCCUUUUAAAUUGGCAUGAGUCAUAGAACACAUGGAGAAGCCCAUCCACUUGAAGCAUUGGUGGCUCAGUGAAAUACUCCGGUAAAACUAGAGUUACCAUGGUGAAUAUUUGUAAUCCUAAGGGAUUAAAUUAUUAACUUAAUUGCAGAAAUACCAAAAUUCAAGAAUAUUUUAGUAAUUUUCUAUUUUCCUCGAAUUUCCACCCAAUCUUGAUCUAAAUUGAUAUUUCAUUCAAUUUAUUAACUUAAAUAAUAAAACAAUUCAUUUCAUGCAAUUUGGUCACUUUUUGACAUUUUUACCAAUUUACCCUUAAAAUAUUAUUUUUAUUCAAUUUAGUCCUUGAACCUAAAACAUGCAAAUUGGUUAUUUUUAAUUAAAACUCAUGCUAGUUGAACAAUCAUUUAUUUUCCUCCUCCUCCUCUCCAUUCCACAUCCUUAAUGUAUAAUAUGCUUAUAUGUAACAUUUCUAUAAUUCCACCAUUUAUUUAUAUAUUAAUUCAAAGCUAUCAACUUGAGUCAUAGUCACUAAAUCAUUUAUAUCUUUAGCUACGGAACUCCGAAUUAAGAUCCGCUAAAUUCCUAUGAAACUAGACUCGUAUAUCUUCUUACCAUAAAAUUUUAAGAAUUUUUGGUUUAGCCAAUAAGUACAGUUUAUUUUUUAAAUUUUUUCCUAUUUCACUGUUUGACAGUUCUGAACCCUCUUGACUAAAAAUUAAUUAUCUCUUUUUACAGAAUUUGGAUGAUAUUUCCGUUUUUUUCUAUUGAAAAUGGAACCAUUAAUUAUUUUAAAAAUAUAAAUUUAAGCCUAUAAUUAUUUUUAUUCAAUUUUUUAUGAUUUUUCAAAUUCAAAAUAGGGGAACCCGAAUUCAUUCUGACCUUGUCUCACAAAAUUUAUUAUAUCUCAUGAUUUACAAUUCCAUUACUUACACCGUUUAUUCUAUGAGAAACUACACUUAAUAAGCUUUAAUUCCAUGUUUUUUUCAUCCUAUAAUUCGAUUUCCAAAAUUUAUGGUGAUUUUUCAAAUUUAACCUACUGCUGCUGUCCAAAACUGUUUUAGUGCAAGAUGUUGAUUACUAAGUUUAUAACUCCCUUAUUCCCUUUCUCUAUAAUAUUUCCCAUCAUUUUCACUUAUUUCCCUUCACUAAUAUAUCAAGAACAUAAGACUUUAUUUAAGAAAACUCUACUAUAACAUCAUUUCCAUACUUUUUCAACAAUAACAAACUUAAAAAUAUAUUGAAAUCUUGAAGUUCUUACCUUGUGCUAUUGAUUUCAAUCUUUAACUUGAUUUUCUCUCUCCUCCAGCUUCUUUUUCUUGAAUCUAACUUGACAUUCUAGCUCCCCAUUGUCUCUUUAUUAUUUUUCUCUCUUGGAAGCUAUGGAAAUUCUUUUGUUUUCUAGGUGAAAAUAGUGAAUUUUUGGUGAAAGGACCAAAUUGUAAAGAAAGAAAAACUUUCUUUCUUCUCUUCUCUUCUAACGUUGGUUGCAUGGAAAGAUGAUGAUUUUUCAUCAUCUUUCCUCCCUUUUAUAUUAAUCAUCUAAUAAUAAAAUAAUACUAAAAAUCUUAAUAAAAUAUUAAUUAAAUAACAUUUAUCUAAUUAAUUAAUUAAAAAUAUCACAAACAUCAUCAUUACCUUCUAGAAUUCUCUCUCUAUUUGACCAUUUUGCCCUUUAUAAUCUUUUGAAAUUUCAUUCUUGAGUCAUCACUUAAUUUGGAAAAGUUACAAUUUAGUCCCUCAAAGUUCCUCACUUUUUCAAUUUGGUCCUAAUUCAUCCAUUUUCCUUAGUUUCUAGAUUAUUCCACCCUUAAAAUAUUUACACUAUUUGUCCUUCAAAUUUUUCAUAUUUACACUUCAACCCCUUAAAUUUUGAGUAUUUACUCUUGGGCAACAAAACUUUUCUCACGUUUGCAAUUUAAUCCUUUAUUGAAUUAAUAUAUCAUAAUAUACUUCCCAAUGUUGACAUAACUCAAUAUUACCUUUUUUAUCACUUUAUUUCCUUAUUUUACUAUAUCAAUGAUAUUAUCUUACUUUAUUACUGUAGUAAAUUUCGGGGUAUUACACAGGGAGUAUAUGAAGGAGUUCAGUGGAUCAUGUUCCAUAUUUUUUAAUUGGGUGAGAAAGAGACAUUUUUCUCCCUUAUAGAUAGGUUGAAACCUUGGGCGAAGCAACAUUUGCAACGUCGAGGGGUCAAAGAUCUUACCAAAGCAAUGAUCGUGGUGGAGUCCUUAAUUAAGCUUGUUCCAAGGAAAGAAAAGUUUGAGUCUUCCAAGACCAAUGAGAUGGGUAUUGUUGUGGGAGACGAAGAAGGACAUGUUAAAAAUGACAAUGGUGAAAAUGGUGGUAAUGAGAAACUGCAUAAUGAGAACUGAAUCUAGGAGGCCCUUGUAUUAUAGGGAUUAGAUCAAAUUAGUCUCUCUAAAAAUGUACAAUAUAGCCAAAAAGAAUCAAAUAAGUCUUAAUUGUAAUAGAGUGAUCUAUACAGUCACCUUUUCUAAAACCAUUAGUUUGAAGUCAUUUAAUUAUUCUGAAGGAUUAUCUUCAAUCCCAACCUUUUUUAUUUUGAAAUGUCUUUUUUUUUGUUAUUAGAAAAUUCAUCUUUAAUCACAAUCAAAUUGGAAUAUUCAUUCUUUUUAAAACUUUGAGGUAAUUAAUAGUCCUUAAACUUCUUCAAGCAUUUGUAACACCCCUUAAAUUUUACAGUAUGGUAAACAACAUUAUUCUAAGAAUCACUACAAUGAAUUUUUGAGAAAAUUCAAUAAUGAGAAAGUAAAGAGAAUUUUUAGAAGGGACUAUAAUUAUUUAUUUUUGGAAAUCAAUGAAGUAAAUUUGGUAUGUGGAAUUGUGAAAAAAAUGACUAAAUUGUAAAAUUAGGAAAGUUUGAGAACUAAAGUAUAAAGUAACUAAUUUGAGAAAUUAUGGAUUGAUAAUGAUUUGUAAAUAUUAAGCCGACAUGAGACAUGUAUUAUCAAGGAAAAGCAAGUUUGGACUUAAUUGAAUAAAAUGAAAAGUAUAGUGCUCAAAUUACAUAUUUCCCAUUUUGACUAGAAUAUAGGUAAAAGUAUCAUUUUCACCAUUUAUGGACUUAAAGGGAUAUAUUUGAAAUUUGCUUUUUUUUUGGAUAAGUGCUCAUUGUUGUGAAGAAAUUGUACAAAUAAACAAAAAGAAUAAUAUGAUAAGUUUGCCAUAAUCGGAUACUUUAGUCAUUUAUCAAGUACUUUAUGUUGGAAGUAUUAUUUUAUUGAUAUUUUUAAUGCAUGGAAUUAAUUUGGAUUUUGAUGAUGAUAUGAGAAGAUAUAAAGCAUUAAGUGUCAUAUUUGGUAUUAAUUAAAGAGAAGUGAUAUAAUAGAAGGGACAAAAGGUACAAUUUUGCCAUUAAAAAUAUAUUUCUUGACUUAUCAUGAAUAUUUUAAUAAAAAUUAUGGACUUUAUUUUAAUUGUGUUAUUAUGAGAAAAUUUAUGGUCAUAUAUUUUAAAUUUUUUGUUCAUGAAACAAAGUGGACUACCAGAGGUGAAUCUAGGGGGGCUGGCAGAGGUCUUGACCUCCCUUAAAAUGGAAAAUUAUUGUUUUGGGCCUUUAGAAAAUUUUAAAAUUUUAAAUUAGUAAAUAUAAAAUUACACUUUUGUCCCCCUAAAAUUAUGAAAAUUUAAUUUAAUCCUUUAAAAAUUAUAAAGAUAUAGACUAUUAAAAACUAAAAUUUCAUUUCGGCUCCCCCUAAAAAUUUUUUUUGGCUUCACCCCUGUGGACUACCCAUUUAAAAAUUUGUUUGACUUUUGACUAAUCAAAUUGUGAUUUUUUUCCUCUCAUGUGCCGUCCCUCUCUCCUUAAGAAUUGAAAAUAUUUGUCGAAUAAUAAUAGAAAUAACAAAUCCUUCUUCGAGAUGUCCAGUGAUUUCUGUGUUCUUUUUUUUUAAUGAGAUAAAGGAAUUAAUCAAGAUGUGUGUGCAAGAAAUUGAAGAAUUUGGAAACAAGUGUAGAAGAAUUUUAGGAACAUUGUGGAGUAUUCAAUGAAAUUCUCAAGAGAAAAGAUAGACAUAUAUUGCCAAUCCAAUAAAAGUAAAAUGAGAUUCCGAAAAUGUUUAAUAAUGAAUCAUUUGUAAAGGAUGAAAGUGAAGUGAGAUUAUCUUGAAGUAGACAUUACGGAGGAAAUAGUACUCAUUAAAGCUAGAAAAAAAAAGUUAAGUGUUGAUCGUUGACACUAAGAAAGUGUAUCACAAAGGAAGUGCGAAGAAGAGAUACAAGUAUUCGAAGAUGGUAAUAAAGACUUACGAGGAUUGGAAAGUGAUAAUUAAUGGAAACCAUAUAAGAGAGGUGAAAUAUAACAUUCUAAAGCUUGACCUAGAAACCUAAUCGAAUUUGGAGUGUUAUUGUGGUCAUCAGAGCAACCUGCAUGAUCAAUCGUUCAUUCAAUCACAUUAAAAUAUAAAAAAAUUAGACAUACACACAACAAGUCAUUUAACAAAACUUAAUCAUAUAAUCAUUGAGUUCCUAAAUCAAAAUCAAAACACCCAAACUGACCAAUUAGCAAAUCCUAAGUACAUGUCAAACUAUACUAUUUCAAGGGUUUUUACAAAAUAAGAAUUGCGGAGACUCUGAGGCGAUGUCUGCUCUGACUCAAACUCACAAACUAUUUGAUCCAAAUAUUACCUAUGCACGGAAUUAAUAACCCGUACAUCGGGCUUUUCAGAGCUUGGUGGAGACCAAAACAGUCUAAACUACUAAUGCAUAUAAUUGAAAAUAAAAACAUUUUAAUCAAAUACAACUAUAUAUAUAUGCAAUAAUUCGAGGAGUGAAAGUCACACUCAAUAAAAAUUGUCAGAGACGCAAUACAAUCAUGAAUCAGUCACAAAAUAACAUUUAUGUAAUAGCCCAAUUUUGACCUUAAUCGGAUAUAGUGGUUUCGAAACCAUGAAUUCGAGUCAGAAAAAUAUUUUUUAUAUUAUUUUUAGUGUUUAUUAUAUUUUAAGUUAUAGGUGUGAAAAAUUCGUGUGGAAAUUUUAUUGUUUAAAGGUUCAAUUUGAUAAAAAAUGAUUUAAUCGCGUAAAAUAAAAAUUUAGAGGUUAAAUUUUAAAAGCACUUAUUUGUUGUUGUCUUUUUAAGUGGGAGGUCUAGAGAUGUAAUUAGACCAAAAUAUAGUUAGUGGAUGACAUAUGACAACAUUGUCCCUUACAUAUAUGUUUUAUAUAUUUAUUAUAAUAAGGUUAAUUAAGUAAUUUAAUAAUUAUAAUGUAUAAAUGUUAAAAUAAACUAAGAAAAGAUGAUUUUUAUCAUCUUUGAAAGCCGAAUGUGUAAGAGAACUCAUGCAUGGUUUCUUGUUGAAUGUUCGGCACUUUUAAAGACAAAUUAAGGUAUGGGUUGGUUUCAGUUUUUGAUAAUUUUUACGUUUUUGAGAUCGUUGUUUCGAAUACUAUCCGACCCAUGUUUGAAUUUUUAAUUUUGAUGAAUAUUUUGAGUUGUGCCAUUGAUGAACAUUUGUGUUAUGUGAUGUUUGAUGAUGAAUAAUGAAAGAUACAUUUUAGAUUAAUAUGUUUUGUAUUGGAAGUUUUGGUGAAAUUGAGUAAUUAGAGUUAAAUUGUGAAAUUAAAUUUUUGAGGGAUUAAAAUGUGAAAUAAAUGAAAUGUGAGGAUUGGUAUGAACAAUAGGUACAUUCGGCCCUUAAGGAGUGUAGUCAAAAUUUGUGUAUUUUGUGUUUUGAGCAAAAAGGAUUAAAUUGUAAAAAGUGUGAAAUGUUAGGGGCAAAAUUGUAAUUUGCCCAUAUAUAUGUUCUUAGACUAAUUGAAUGAAAAAAAAAUGUUUAAAUGAGAUUUUUUUGAAUAUGUUUAGAUCAAGAAACCAAGAAAUCGAAUUUAGAUCGGGGGAAAUCGAAAGUAGUUGAGUAGCCGAUCUAUUAGUCGACGACAUCCGAGGUAAGUUAUUAAGCAUAUAUAUAUAAUUGUGUAUUUUUAAAAUCAGCUUAGUAUUUAUGUAAUUAUGCUGAAUUGAAUGAUAUAUAAAUAUACAUGUAGUGAUAAAAUUAUUGAAAUAAGAUAUAUUGAGUUGUUGACUUUUGACACUAAGUGUGCGAAUUUAAUUGUAAAGCACUAAUUGUGCAAGUUUAAUUGAAAAGCACUAAGUGUGCGAGUUUAAUGGUAAAGCACUAAGUGUGCGAACUUAUUAAAUAUUUUCGAAUAACUAUUAGCAUUGAGUAUUUGUUUUUUUUUUUUUUGAGAAAUUAUGAUUAGUAAAAUGAGUAAAUACUUGGAAUUUUUGUGGUUGUAUUUAAGGUUAAGCUUUGUAGGUAUUAAACCUAUGUGGUGAUUAUAUUUGGAAUUAUAUAUAUAUAUAAUAUGAUUCUUUAUAUUACAUGGUGAGGAACUGCAUAAUGUAUUUGGUCUUGUGAUUAAAUUUGAAGAAAUGUUUAUGGUUAUGUAAUUAUAUUGAUUUAGUUAAAUCAUAGUAAUAAGUGAAUAAUUAUCUUAUGAUAUGGUAAGCUAAAGGUAAGAUGAUUUAGUAGUAUGAAUUGGUUGAAUAUUAUUUAAGAUAUCGGUUUAAAUAGUAGAGUUUAUUUGCUUAUAACUUACUAAGCUAAAUUAGCUUACAAUGUGUUGGAUAAUUGUUUUUUUUUUAUGUAUAGAUUUUGGUGAUUGCUACGUGUUCGGGGAUCGUCAGCUAAGUUCGUCACACUAUCGAUAUUUUCUUUUGGUACUUUACUAAAUCGUUUUCAAAUAUAUGGCAUGUAUAGCAUAGUUAAAAUAUUGAAUUUGGAACUAAUGUGUAUAUGUAUUUAAAAGCCAUGCGAAAGAGGCUUAUAUAUAUUUUUUUUUUUGGACUUGAAUUUGGUUUGGAUGCAUGUGUUUAAUGAUUAUGAGUGUGGUAUAUGCUUAUGGUAUUAUUAUAUGGAGGGAUUAUUUGUUCUUGGUAUAUAUAUAUAUUGGGCUACAAUGGAAUUAAUGAAUAGUUAAUUAAAGUUAGUUGCAAGAUGUGUACACGUAUGGUUGUGUAAAAAAAUGUGGAUUUCUAACUUAAAAAUGUGUGAGAGUAGAUAUUAAUAAGCAUGCUAUAUAUAUAUAUAUAUAUAUUCAUAUAUGUGCAUGGUAUGUUUGAUUUUGGUAUGUUAAGGGUUUGGCAUUGUAUAUAGGUAAUGACUUAAAAUAAGUCUAGUUCAUGACUAGCUGCUUAUUAAAUUAUGUUUAUAAUAAUUCGGUCUUAACUUAGCUCUGCUUUGAAAUUAUGUGAUAUGAUUUGAAUGGUUAUGUUUAAUUUGAUUUUAUAUGUGACUAUAAGAUUCGGCCAUGAUGUAAUAUUAUUAUGUAUGUAUGUAUAUAUAUAUAUAUAUUCAUUUGAUUAGUAAUAGAUAUACUUAUUAAUGCCGCAUAUGAAAUAGAGGAUAGGUUUUGUAACAUAUUUUGUUUAGUCCAUUAAGUACAUGUUUAUUAAUAAGCAUAAAGAUGAUAAAAAAAAUCAUUAUAUAUAUUUUUUAUACCAUUUUAAUGAUAAACACACGAUUCGUGUAUUUAUUUUGAAGCAUAAGUUGUAUGGAUUUAAGGCAUGAUUUUUUUUAAGGUGUAAAUAUGAUUAUAUUCAUGAGAUACUAUAUUUGUUUUGUGAUUAAUAAUGUAUGUAUAAUUUGUAAUUAGUCUCUUUUUUUUCAGUAAUACCUCAUAACCCUAAUCUGGCGACGGACACGGGUUAGGCGUGUUACAAUUUAAAAUAACAAUAAAACAAUAUAAGACAUUCAAUAAAUAUCGAUGGUGUUUUGAUUCAAUGUUCAAGUUCAUUAAAUAAUUUUUCUCAAAUAACACAAGAAGGAAAGAUAUUCGAACACACGAGUGUCCAACCAAACACCAAAUGAUCAAUGAAAUUAGUGCAAGUGCCAACAAUAACAAUAUUCCAUUGGGAGAUAAUGCAACUUAGUCUAUAAUCAACCAUCACACUAAAUGCACAAAACGCAACAAUGACAAUGCUCCUGAAUGCUUAAGACAGUUCCACAAUAAACAAUGAUGGAGAUUCCUCCACCUUACGAGAUGUGGCUUAUACCAAAACAUUUCAAUUAUUAAAAUAGUAAUUAACAAUGAUUUUCGGAACAUAACCAAUUAAUAAAAAUAACAUUUUAAAAAUAGUAACCAUAAUUAAAAUCAAUUUAAUAAACUGCCACACAAGUAAAAAUUCAUAUGCAAGGAAUCAAAAUAUCAGUCCACUAAGCCAAUAAUUUAAUUGCAACAUUAACAUAAUUUAAAACGUAACGAUUACAAACUAAUUUUUUAAAUGUUGGUUGCUUAGGAUCACAUGCACUAUAAACGUAAGGACCACCGUUGAAAGCCAUGCAAAAAUCUACAAUUUUAUAUUUAUAUGUGUAUAUAUACACAUAUACAUAUACACGUAAACACUAUAAAUCAUGCCAACCAUUAACAAAGCCAUGCAAAUAUUUAUAUUUAUAUAUUUCAUAUAUUUAUACAUUCACAUGCACAUAACUAAAUACGACAUCAUGCAAAUAUAGUUAUGUACAGAAUAUUGAUAUAUUAUCUCAUUAAUUUUAAAAAUAAACAACACCAAAAGACCAAGCUUUACACUACUCACACGACAUAACAUUGGUUUCACGAAUCCUCAAAGCACUACUCCCUCUGGGCUUUCUACGAUUUAACAGCAACCUGCUUUGUCUUUAUUUGGUUGUGGCUUCUAUGCAGAUUAGACGAGAGGCUUCAAUGGAUGAUAUAAAAGAGGUGGUGUUGGUCAGUGGUGGGCAGAGGUGGCCUGAUGUCGGUGCAAGGAGAUCAACGGUUAGGACCAGGGUGACUGUGGAGCGAUGAGAUGUUGGGGCGACGGAAGAACUCACGAUGGCGAUGAGAGGGCGGACAAUGGUGCAUUGAUGGAGAUGACUCCAAGGCAGCGUGAUGAAAGGGAGGGACGACUUGGGGCAGUUGGCUGACGGUGUGGCGACUAAGAGGAUCGGUGCUUAGUGAUGGAAUGAAGGAGACAAUGCCUGACGUUGGGGAGUGAAAGGUGGUAAUCAGUCUUUUAUUAGGGGUAGAAUUCUACAAAAGAAGGGUUUUGAUAGUAGGAAAGUUUGACCAAAUGUGUAUUCUUUCUUAGUUGUAACUCUGAAACCUAAUUGAUGAUGAUGAUGAUGAUGAUGAUAGAGCACACACGCCCAGGCCACCACUCUGUCAACUAAGUUGUUUAAGGGCUAAUUCCAAUAUUUGUCCCCAAUUAAUUGCUGAGGUUUCAAUUUAAUCCAUAAAUCAAGAUCAAAAUUCAAUUAGUCUUAAAAUUAAACUAAAAAAUCAAAUAAGUUCAUAAUACACAAAAAAUCACUAAAAAUAUAAAUUUUAUCCUAAUGUUCCAAAAUUCCGAAAAUAUAUUUAUCGAACUUAUCUCGAUUUUGUGUGAAAUCAUAGUUGGAAAUUUUGGAGUGUUUCACGAAAUUAUCCAUCAAAGUGCCUUAAGAAGUAGUAGUCGAGUAGUGCGUUGUUAAAAGUUCCUAGAAAGAUGUUAACAUUGGAUAUUAAAUGAGCAUCGUGGAUGGAAAAGAGGACAUCAAAAUACGAGUAUAGAGAUUUGUAGCUUGCUACCAGAGGCAAAGCUAGUUGCUGGUAGGGCUUGACCUCCCUUUAAAUGGAAUAAUUUCAUUUAUACUCUUAUAUAGUUUAUAAAAUUUUAAAUUAGUAAUAAAAAAAUUUAUACUUUGACCUCCUUUAAAAAUUAUAAAGAUAUUAUAAAAAUAUAUAAUUUAAUUUCACCCCUAAAACAAAUUUUUGGUUUCCCGGAUUAUAGAAAAGCUAUAAUCGUGUUAUGAAGUGAUAAUGGGUAAAUAAGUAUAAGAGAAAUGAGUUGAAAAGUAGGAAGAGAGAAGUAUGUAUUUGGUAUUGAGAUCAUAUGAGUUGGGAAGUUAAAUCGUGGGUUGACGUGAACGGAUAAGGCACGCAUUGGAUGUGUGGGAAGAGAUUUAAGUCAAGAAGAAAAGUGACAGUAAUUUGAAGUAAACAAUGAAGGUUAUGCACAUGCUCAAAAGGAAAAGUUAUGAUCAUUUGAUGGGGAUGAGUCAAGAUAAGAUAGCCAAUUAAAGGUGCAAAAUUAACCCAAGUUGAGAUGAAUAUGGUGAAUAUAAGCUUGUUAACCCAAGUUGAGUGACAUGUCAAGUUAUAACAAUCAAGUGAAAAUGAUUGAUGUGGUAUAUUAAAAUUAUAUGUUAGUGACAUAUAUGGUAUGGAAGACAUUAGAAGAUAAGAAACUUAUGAUUCGUGCUAAGGUUAAGAUUUAUAGAUAUUUGAUGAAUCAAAGGACAUCUUGUGCAAUGUGAAAGAUAAAGAGGGAAAUUUAUUUAGGGUUCAACAUUUAAGUGAAGCAAAUUAUAAGGUUGUGAAAACCGUUAAAAGGAUAAAAUGUAAAUUUUAGAAUAUAAAAAAAUUAAAUUGAAUUAAUGGAAAAAAAAAUGACAAAGAGGUAAUUUUUACUUAAUUUACUUUACUGAAAGUAAAUGGAUAAUUAUGGAAUUAGAGAAUAAAGAAAAUUGGGGAAAAAAGAAGGAGGAGGAGGAGAAGUGUUGUCAUGAUUAUGACCCUUGGAUAUUAUGGAAGAGGUGAAGAAAUAAUUGCAAUUGGAUAUUAAUUAUGAUGAUGGGAUUUUUAUUAAUGUUUUAAUUAUAUUAAUUGCUAUAUGGCCGUGUGUCAAGCCAUGUGGCUCAAAUGAACGUGUGGAAGAGGUCAGUCUAUGUGGCUCCUGUACUUGUUCUGAUUUUCGAUUCUUGAUAAGUGUCAAAAGUAACAUAUUUUAAUCUCAUUCUUAAUUCAUUUUUAGAUGAUUAAUCAAUGCAAAACGGUAAAAUUUAUGCUCAUAAUCCUUUAAAUUCAUAUUUCUAUACUUAUAAGAGCAUUUGAGAGAAAAAUUAGUGAAAACGAAGCGAAAAUCAAAAAAUUGGAGCAGAUUUCAAGAGCCACACGAGUUGGACACAUGGUCAUGUGAGCCACACGGGCUGCCACACGGCCAUGUGCCAGAUAGAGACACAUGGUCAUGUGAGCCACACGCCAUGUGCCAGAUAGAGGUGCUCAUGGGCCGGGCCCGGCCGGGUUCGGGCCGGGCCCAUAAAAAAUUUCGGCCCGGGUCCUAGGCCCGGCCCGACCCGGCCCGAAAUAUGGGCCUAAGAUUUUGCCCAGGCCCGGCCCGGGAAAAAAAUCAUAAGCCCGGGCCCGGCCCGUCCCAUUUUUAUUUUAAAAAUUUUAAAAAAAUUAAAAAAAGUAUUUUAAAAAUAUUUUAAAAUUAAAAAAAAAUUAAAAAAGUAUUUUGAAAAUAUUUUAAAAUUAAAAAAUUUUUAAAAAGUAUUUUAAAAAUAUUUUAAAAUUAAAAAAGUAUGUAAAAAAUAUUUUAAAAUAAAAAAAAAUAUUUAUUAUAUCGGGCAGGGCCGGGCCCGGGCCGAAAAAGUGGUGCCCGAGGCCCGGCCCAUUUUCUAAACGGGCCUCGUUUUUUUGCCCAAGCCCAUAUUUCGGGCCUAUAUUUUUACCCAAAUCCUCUCAUAUUUCGGGCGGGCCGUCGGGCCGAGCCGGGCCACCCGGCCCAUGAGCACCUCUAGUGCCAGACCGUGUGGAUUUCGCAUUUCACACUCCAAAUAUGUGGAAUCACGCAAUUUUUAAGUUUUUCGGGCAUUCUUAGACCUAUAUAUACCAAAUAUAUGGAGAGAAGUAAGAGCCGUCAGAGAAUAUUGAAGAAAACAACUCAAAAGACAUCAUUGAAGUCGACUUUGAAACAAAUUUCUACUAAGAUUGAAGAUCUCCUUUUGAUUUCUUUGAAGUUUAUUAUGAGUUUUUUUAUUUCUUGUGGUUAUACUGUCUUUGAGAUGUUUUUACUCUCGAUUAUGAACUAAUUUUCUAAAGAUGAACCUUAUGACAAAUUUUGUCUUUUGACUUCUAUUUUAUGCAAUGAAUAAUUAAAUCUUGUUCUCAGUUAUGUGUGCUAAAUUUUUUAUUUAAUAUUUUCAAAUUAUUAAUUCAUGUUUGAUAUGCUUAAUUCAGAGUAGAUCUAGCAUAAUUCAAUGGAGUUGCAUGUAAUCCUAGAAAUAGGACAACAUAAAUCUACCCUGUUAGAGUCAAAUCUAAUAGAAGAAUUCAUAAAUCGAGUCGGUACGAUAAUAGGGAUUUCAAUUAAUCCGUAAAUAUCCCAAAAUAAUAUUCGACUUAUACGAUACAUUUCUAAAGUUGCGAAAGAGUACCUUGGGUGCAAUAUGGCCCAUGGUACCUCUAACUGUUGUCAUUGAAAUAGCAUUUUGUUCCUUGGAACACAAUUUAGCAAGGCCUGAAUGGAGGAUACGUUACUAGCCUUGAUGCAGGUACUCGAUGCCUUUGGUUACACCGACAAUAAUAUCCUGAAGUUUUUCCCAACUAAGGGAUCGAUCCGUACCCUUAGCUUGCAAAUAUGAACUUCUUUAAUGACUCGUUUGGUAGGUAUUCAUAAAUGAGAACUCAGUCAUAUCCAUCGACACAAAACUCAACCAGGCAUGUCACAUUCACAUGGUGGAUUCUGCCCAUCGAACCCACCUCAUUGAUGAACUCUCAAUAUUUAACUAAAGUUUGCUUUUUUACUUUUUUUUUUAUUUUCAUUUUUAAGAAAAUGUUAUUUUAUUAAUUCAAUUAUCAAAAUUAUUAUUAUUUUAUUUAAAUUAGAUUAAUCCUCAUUUAAUUAUUACAAGUAUAUUAUUUUAAAAUUAUAAAAAUUAUUAUUUAAUAAUUAAACAAAUAAACAUUUAAAAUCACAUACAUUACAUUAAAAACUAGUAUAUCUAAAUAUAUAUUUUACCACUUAUUUUAAUCUUGUUAUUUUUAAUUUCAUCAAAAUUAUUAUAUAUCACUCGAGCCACUGCGACUGCUGACCGGUGAUUAUUGCCUGCAUAAUUUGAUGAAAGGUUCUGAAUUAAUACAUCCAAGACUUUUAUGAGCAUCGCCAUUGACUGACCGACGACUUGUAUGAAAGAAUUUUCCACGUACGUUAGCUUUAUUACUGGACUGAUUUUUCAAAGAAAGACUUGCUCUCAAUUGGAGCCAUAAAACAAAUGAAUGAUUGGCAUUUUACAUUAAAGAGCAUCCCAUUGUUUAUUUCUUCAUCGGAGCUCCACCGGAACUUGAUGAUGUUAAGACCCAGACUUUUCUUGUUUAGCAUCUUUGCCCUUACUUUAUCUCUAUCCCCAGAUGUUUCCGAUGGUAGAGCAGGCAAAAGCAACCACUGUGGCCCAUCUUUGUGUGGACACGUUAAUAUCAGACACCCUUUCCGACUAAAAGGUCAGCCUCGUCGAUGUGGUGACCGUAGGUAUGAAUUAGAAUGCAAGAGAAACCGCACCAGUUUUCCCAUGAAAUACGGAAACUUUUAUGUCCUAAACAUCUCUUAUGUUGACCGAACGCUUCGACUUGUGGAUGUGAGUCUGGUCGAUGAAAACUGCUCAAUUCCUCGCAGUUCCAUUGUCUAUUAUCCAUACAGCUAUCAAGAAGACAUAAAUUAUGGAAGACACACCAUGUAUCUGGUAAAUUGCACGACAAGGAUGAAGUCUUCUUCAGUUUAUGUCGAUGCUUCUCGUUGCCCAACCAAUAGCUCUUCUUCUCCUUGGACCUACUUCUACUUUCCAGUCUCGUUUUCAAAUAUAUCCGAUUUCCAUCAUUCGUGUAGAUUUAUAGCCCAGUUUCCUGUCAUGCUUUCCAAUAUUAGUGGCUUAUCCCCUUCUUACAUUUACAAAAACCUGUUGGAAGGCGUCGAGGUGUCCUGGUAUAGACCCUUUAGUUUUUGGCCUUCAAACCCGGUUCUCAAAGUGUAAGAGACUUCGAUCUUUAGAUUCUUUCAAUCUAUAACUUUUCAAGGCCUUAUUUAUUGAUUGGUUGCUUUUUUUUUCCUUGGGGGGGGGGGGGGUUAUUCUAGCUUGCUACAGUUGGUGAUCUAUUCACUACGUCCAAUUUUAGCAUACAUAGUAAGCAAUGUGGCCUUUCUUCUACCGGGAAUCAUCGGCCAUUAUCCUUUUGGGAAAGGUUAAUCUUUCAGAUUUCAUAAGUAUCUUUAUUUAUUGGAUUUGCCCUUGAAUUGUAUUCGAGUUAGUAAUAUUAUUGUUCAAUUUGCGUUUUAAACAGGAGCCACCUUCGUUUGUCUUGCAGUAUCAGGUAAAUCUCUUUCCCUUCCCACUUUUUAUGUUAUCUUUAUAAAAUAAUCAUGAAUGCUGAUUUAUCCAUGUGUAUGCACCUUGAUGGGCAAGCAGGCAUAUUGUUAGCGAGAACUUUGUUGGGGAUAUUCUGCCUCAUUACACUUGUCAUAUGCAAACUAAAGAGGAGGCAUUUGUCGAUGGAUGAUGAUAUCGAAAACUUUCUUCAAAGUCAAAAUAAUUUAAUACCUAUUCGAUAUUCGUAUUCUGAAAUAAAAAGAAUUACGGAAGGUUUUAAAGUUAAAUUAGGUCAAGGUGGUUAUGGUUCUGUGUUUAAAGGAAAGCUUCGCAGUGGUCGGCUAGUGGCAAUAAAAAUGUUAGAUAAAUCCAAAGCAAAUGGAGAAGAUUUCAUCAAUGAAGUUGCUACUAUUGGAAGAAUUCAUCAUAUUAAUGUAGUGCAACUUAUUGGGUUUUGUGUAGAGAGAUCAAAACAAGCUCUUGUAUAUGAUUUUAUGGUGAAUGGGUCUCUGGAUAAAAUUAUAUUUUCAAAGGAGAAUUGCACUUUAAGUUGGCAAAAAUUAUUUGAUGUUGCACUUGGUGUGGCUCGAGGAAUUGAAUACUUGCACCGGGGUUGUCAAAUGCAAAUUUUGCAUUUUGAUAUCAAGCCGCACAACAUUCUUUUGGAUGAAAACUUUAUCCCUAAAGUUUCUGAUUUUGGUCUUGCAAAAUUAUAUUCAGUGGAUGACAGUAUUAUUUCUCUCACAGCGGCUCGUGGUACAUUAGGAUACAUUGCUCCUGAAUUAUUUUACAGAAAUAUUGGAGGCAUCUCAUAUAAAGCCGAUAUUUAUAGUUUUGGAAUGUUAUUAAUGGAAAUGGUGGGAAGAAGAAAGAAUUUGAAUGCAUUUGAUGAUCAUUCUAGUCAAAUUUAUUUUCCGUCAUGGAUUUAUGAUCGAUUUGAACAAAGAGAGAACAUAGAAUUAGGGGAUGUAACAGAAGUUGAUGACAAAAUAGCAAGGAAGAUGAUAAUGGUUGCAUUUUGGUGCAUACAAAUGAAUCCCACUAAUCGUCCUUCAAUGAGCAAAGUUUUGGAAAUGCUCGAAAAUGAACAUGAUCAACUUGAAUUGCCGUCCAGACCUUCACUAUUUUCUCUCGAAAAGUCGACUGAAGAUCAUGUUUGUAAGAAUGUAUCGGAGGAACCAUCAACGUCAAAAAGUUGUGUGGACAUCUAAGUAUAAUGUUUGAUUUUAUUCGGACCUUUUAUACAUAUAGUUCUGCAAGUACUGUAAGCUUUUAAUUUGUAGCAUUUCAUGCUCAGUUGUAUAAUAUCCAGCAUCAUGUAAUACGACUAUUAAUGGAUGUGUGUUUUAGACUUUAGCUCCUUAGCUUCAUGUUUCAAUUAUUAAAAAUGUCUCCUUUUCACCAUAUAAUGAGUUAAUAUCAAAUUCGUUAACAAUUAUUUAGUAUGUAAGUGACUCUUAACAUUGCGUGAUCUCAUGAGAAAGUUUUUACUCUCUUAUCGUAAUAUGUAAUCAUGCUGAUAAAAGUAACUUGUAAUAAUUAUGAGUGUGGUGUGGCGGUUGCUCACUUUAUUUUUUAAUCAUGUAGUCAGGGUUUGAGUUCCGCUCAUAGAAAUGGAAUACCUUCCAACGAUGAAUAUCUUAAUUUUGACAAUUAAACAACAUUUAAGAUAGAAUCUUUUCAUUUAUUAGUAGAAUUUAUAUACUAACAGCCAUGCAGCAUUUCAUUUAUGAGUUCAAAUAAAAUCUUAGCAUUGGUGUAAUAUGAGUGUGCUAAUAGGUGAUUUCAAGUUUCAACUGAUUCUAGUACUACUAACAAUGAGGCUCGAGACUGUUCUUAUUCCAUUUCUGAAAUAGUGGGUAGAUCUCUGUUAACCGGCUUCCUAGGUAUGGUGGCACCCAUCGUCUUCGGUGGAUCUGUUGACACAAAAGGAUUUGGGGGCAUUGUAAGAACGUCAAGCUCUCCCUCUAACAUCUGAACCACCACUUUCAUCGAAGGACGAUCAACGGGAUACCACUGAAUGCACCAAAGUCCAACGAUCAUGAGUUUCUUUUCUAUCCCUGUUUGUGCAUCAUCUUCAAUUCGAAUCCCGAACUCCUCUCCUUUAUCCAAACGAUCAUAUGCCCAUUCUGGGAAAUACACUUGGCUUGUAUUCUCGACCAUAACAUCUAUGUUCUUUCUCCCCCCAACCAUUUCAAGCAACAGCAUUCCAAAACUAUAAACAUCAGACUUAUAUGACACAUUUCUGAAGUUGCGAGACAGUACCUCUGGUGCAAUAUAGCCCAUGGUACCUCUUGUUGGCACAUAAUUAAAUUAACCUUGCACAAAUAAAUUAUGAAAAGUUAGAAGAGUGAAGAGACUUGAAUAUGAAUAGUGAAGAGACUUGAAGAUGAAAAGUUAAGAGUCUUGAAUAUGAAAGGAUACACACAUGCAUGAAUAGUCACAACUCCUAGCAUAUAGUGAUUUAGAUGAAUAGUCACUUACAACUCCUAUAUAAAGAGUUGUAUGUAAUGAAGAAUAAUUAACUUGUGUGCUUGAAAUAAAAGCUUAUUUGAAAGAAUUUUUCCAUACAAAAUUUAUUUCUCUUCUCCAUUAUAUUCUUUAUCAUUUUCUUUGUUUUAUUUCUCCAAAUAUUAAUUAUUCAACUACAAAUUGGUAUCAGAGCCUUGUUCGAUCGAAAUGAACAAUUCUAUUCCUCUUUCUUCCGUUCCCCAAUUAACCAAAGAAAAUUAUGGCAAAUGGAGUAUCCAAAUGAAGGCUCUUCUUGGAUCUCUAGAAGUUUGGGAGAUUGUUGAAAAAGGUUAUAAUGAAGUUGAGGCUGAAGAGGAGGAAGGAUUAUCACAAGUUCAAAAAGAGGGUUUAAGAAAAUCAAGGAAAAAAAAUAAACAAGCCUUAUUUUGGAUAUAUCAAGGAGUUCAAUCAAAUGAAGCAGCAUGGGAAAAAAUAGCUUGUGCCACCACGGCAAAACAAGCAUGGGAGGUUUUACAAAAUUCUUUCAAAGGAGAUGAAAAGGUGAAAAGAGUUCGGUUGCAAACUCUUCGAGGGGAGUUUGAAAGAUUGCAAAAAAUAGAGUCGGAAUCAGUUUUUGAUUACUGUUCACGAGUUUUGUCCAUAGUCAACCAAUUGAAAAGAAAUGGUGAAACUAUGGAUGAUAGUCGUGGUGUUGAAAAAAUCCUCCGUUCUUUGGAUUCUAGAUUUGAUUACAUUGUGGUAGCCAUUGAAGAAUCAAAGGACUUGAGUACCAUGACUAUUGAUGAACUCACAGGUUCGUUGCAAGCCCAUGAAGAAAGAUUAAACAAGAAGAAGAAGGAAGUAGAUCUAGAUCAAGCACUCCAGUCAAAGUUGUCUCUAAAUGAGAAGAAAGGAGAAUUUAAAAAUCAAAGAGGGAGAGAUCGUGGAAGAGGAAGAAAUUUUAGAGGAAGAGGCUCAAAUGCUCGUCAAAGAUAUGAAAAUACAAGCACGGAGAAUGGAUGGAAAGAAGCCAGCCAAAGUCAGAAUUUUAGAGGAUCACAAAGAGUACGUGGACGUGGAAAUCAAAGAGGAAGAGGUCGUGGCUAUUUUGAAUGUUAUCAUUGUCGCAAACCUGGUCAUUUGGCAAGUGAAUGCUGGUACAAGAAAGAAGAGAAAAAUGAAGCUAAUAUAGUACAAAAUAAUCAAGAGCAAAAGCAAGAAACUUUGUUGCUCGUGUCUCAUGGUGGAGAGAUUGAUGAUGUCUGGUACAUAGACAGUGGUGCUAGCAAGGCUAUGACAGGUAACAAAAAUUUAUUUUCGAAGUUCUUUGAAUCUGAUUGUGGAGAAGUAAAAGUAGGAGAUGGCAAUGCUUACAAAGUUAGCGGUGUUGGUGAGUUGGAGUUCAAAACAAAGCAAGGAAGGGUAGAGAAAAUGUCUGAAGUUUAUUUUGUUCCCGGACUUAAAAAUAAUCUGCUUAGUGUUGGGCAUCUUUUAAAGAAGGGGUAUGAUAUUCAUUUUCGUGACAUGGCUUGCUAUUUAUCAAGGAAAAAUCAGGUUGUUGCUAGAGUUGGAGUGGCAUCAAAUAAUCUUUUCUCUCUCACCCUUCAAAAUCAGAAUAUGUCUUGUUUUAUUGGUGCUCAUAAAGGAGUUUCAAAGUUAUGGCAUGAUAGAUAUGGACAUUUGAACUAUGGAAAUUUGGAGAUGCUUUCAAAGAAGAUGAUGGUCAGAGGUUUACCAAAAAUCAAUCGACUUGAUGAUAUUUGUGAAGCAUGUCAACUUGGAAAGCAACACAAAAUUACUUUUCCUUCUCAAUCAUCGUGGAAAGCAAGAAGACCAUUGCAACUUAUUCACUCAGAUCUUUGUGGUCCAAUGACAAUUUCAUCUUUGGGAGGUAAUCGUUAUUUUAUCUCUUUCAUUGAUGAUUACUCAAGAAAGUUAUGGGUGUAUUGUGUAAAAGAAAAAUCAGAGGCUUUUCAGAGAUUCAAAGAUUUCAAGGCAGAAGUGGAGAACUUUACUGGGCUAAAAAUUAACACCUUACGGACAGAUCGUGGAGGUGAAUAUUUUUCAAAAGAAUUUGAGAAAUAUUGCCGAGAUAGUGGCAUCCGGCAUGAAAUGACAGUCCGCCAUACACCUCGGCAAAAUGGUGUGUGUGAAAGAAAGAAUAGAACAAUUAUGGAAAUGACUAGAUGUCUUCUUAGGAAGAAGAGGUUAUCAAGAAGAUUUUGGGCUGAAGCUGUUUCUUGUGCAGUUUAUCUUAUAAAUAGAUCACCGACAAGAAGCUUGGAGAAUUGCACACCACAUGAGGCGUGGUAUGGUAUAAAGCCUAGUGUUAGUCAUCUUAGAGUAUUUGGGAGUGUUGCAUACUCUCAUAUUCCAGAUGCAAUGAGAAGCAAGUUGGAUGACAAGUCAGAGAAAUGCAUUUUUAUUGGUUAUAGUGAAAGAAGUAAGGCAUACAAGUUGUACAAUCCGGUGACAAAGAAGAUUGUGAUAAGCCGAGAUGUUCGGUUUGAUGAAAAUUCCAUGUUUGAAGAUAUAGAAGUUGAAAAGGAAAAUUUGCCAAUUUUUCCUUUUGAACUUGAAGAAGAAGAAGAUGCAGUAAUUGAGAAUGCUGAAGAUGAUGCUCAAGUAGGAAAUCCUCCUGCUUCCUCAAGUUCUUCAUCAAAUUCUUCUUCAUCCAGCCCGAUCCGAAAAACGAGAAGCAUCCAAGAGUUAUAUGAUGUAACGGAUGAAGUUGUGCAAAAUGAUGUUGUAUUCUUUGCCUUCUUUGCAGGAGAAGAUCCAAUUUCUUUUGAUGAUGCAUAUCAAGAAGAAAUAUGGAGGAAAGCCAUGAAAGAAGAGAUUUGCUUAAUUGAAAACAAUGAUACAUGGGAACUCACAGAUUUACCGCCGCACAAGAAUUUAAUUGGAGUCAAAUGGGUGUACAAGACAAAGAUGAAUCCGAAUGGCUCUAUCAACAAGUACAAGGCAAGACUGGUUGCAAAAGGAUACAAACAAAAGGAAGGAGAAGAUUUUACAGAGGUAUUUGCUCCAGUUUCAAGACUUGAGACAGUUCGGUUACUUAUUUCUCUUGCUGCCCAAAACAAUUGGAAAAUGUUCCAAAUGGAUGUAAAAUCUGCGUUUUUGAAUGGUGUUCUCAAAGAAUAAGUCUAUGUUGAUCAACCACCAGGGUUUGUCAAAAAAUGAGAAGAAGAAAAAGUUUACAAGUUGAAGAAAGCUUUGUACGGGUUGAAGCAAUCACCCCGAGCUUGGUACAGCCGAAUCGAUUCUUAUUUUCAGAAGUGUGGAUUCCAGAAAUCUCCAUAUGAGCAUACUCUCUACAUCAAAGGCAAUUAUCAAGGAAGAUUCAUGGUUGUUAGUCUCUACGUUGAUGAUCUUAUUUUCACAGGAAAUGAUGUGAAGAUGUUGAAAGAAUUUCAGCACUCAAUGAUGGCAGAAUUUAAGAUGAUAGAUUUGGGAGAACUUCAUCAUUUUCUUGGUAUUGAAGUUCAUCAAUCUAAGAAAGGAAUUUUUAUUUCACAAGAGAGCUACGCAAAGGAAGUUCUAAAAAAGUUCAUGAUGGAAAAUGCGAAUCCAAUCUCUACUCCAUGCAUUACAAGUCUGAAGUUAUCUAAAGAGGGUGAAGGAAAGCUUGUCAAUUCCACCAUAUUCAGAAGUUUGGUUGGGAAGUUGAUGUAUCUGACUUCGACAAGGCCUGACAUCGUGUAUGCUGUUAGUUUGGUGAGUAGAUUCAUGGAGAAACCUUACUCCAAUCACUGGGAGGCUGCUAAGAGAAUAUUGAGAUAUGUGAAGGGAACCAUUGAUUAUGGAAUUUUCUAUAAAGCUAAUACUUAGUUGAUCUCAUUGGUUAUACGGAUAGUGAUUUAGCAGGAAGCAUUGAUGAUAGCAGAAGCACUUCUGGUUAUGUUUUUCACCUUGGGAGUGGUGCAGUUUCAUGGAGUUCAAAGAAACAAUCAAUUGUGGCGCUUUCGACUACAGAAGCUGAAUAUAUCGCUGCAUCUUAUGCAGGAUGUCAAUUGAUUUGGUUACGUGGAAUUUUGGAAAGUCUUAAGCAGAAGCAAAGCAAGUCAACAAUUUUGUUUUGUGACAAUAGUUCUACUAUUUCGGUCACAAAAGAUCCAGUUCUUCAUAGAAGGACAAAACACAUUCGCAUUCGAUAUCACUUCUUGAGGGAACUAGUGAAUAAUGGUGAUGUUCAAGUUGAAUAUUGCAAGACAGAAGAUCAGAUGGCUGAUAUCUUCACAAAGCCUCUAAGUGGACAAGUCUUCAAGAAAAAUGUUGAAAGGUUGGGAGUUCAAAGCAAGUUUAAUUUAAGGGAGGCAUUGUUGGCACAUAAUUAAAUUAACCUUGCACAAAUAAAUUAUGAAAAGUUAGAAGAGUGAAGAGACUUGAAUAUGAAUAGUGAAGAGACUUGAAGAUGAAAAGUUAAGAGGCUUGAAUAUGAAAGGAUACACACAUACAUGAAUAGUCACAACUCCUAGCAUAUAGUGAUAUAGAUGAAUAGUCACUUACAACUCCUAUAUAAAGAGUUGUAUGUGAUGAAGAAUAAUUAACUUGUGUGCUUGAAAUAAAAACUUAUUUGAAAGAAUUUUUCCAUACAAAAUUUAUUUCUCUUCUCCAUUAUAUUCUUUAUCAUUUUCUUUGUUUUAUUUCUCCAAAUAUUAAUUAUUCAACUACACCUCUAGCUGUUGUCAUUGAAAUAGCACUUUGUUCCUUGGAACACAAUUUAGCAAGGCCGAAAUCAGAGAUCUUAGGAUUGAAGUUGUGAUCAAGCAAAAUAUUGUGAGGUUUGAUGUCGAAAUGGAGGAUACGUUGCUCGCAACCUUGAUGCAGGUACUCGAUGCCUUUGGCUACACCGACAGCAAUAUCCUGAAGUUUUUCCCAACUAAGGGAUCAAUCCUUGCCCUUGGCUGCAAAUAUGAACUUCUCUAAUGACUCGUUUGGUAGGUAUUCAUAAACGAGAGCUCGGUCAUAUCCAUCGGCACAAAAGCCAACCAGGCGAGUCACAUUCACAUGGUGGAUUCUGCCCAUCGAACCCACCUCGUUGAAGAACUCUUCACCAUUUCCCUUGAAAUUAUUGAGUACCUUGACAGCAACUAAAACAUCACUGGAAAGUCUGCCUUUGAAGACAGUUCCAUAGCCUCCUUGUCCCAGUUUGUCCUUGAAAUGAUUAGUUAUCCUUUUAAUAUCAGCAUAGGAGUAUCUUGAGGGUUUAAACCCUUUAUAAUCUUCCAAAAACUUUUCAAUCUUGACUUGAAUUUCUUUCUCCUUUUUGUCUAACUGAUAUCUCCACCCAACUGCAAUGGCAAUGGUUGCAGCAAUUGAAGAACCCAACACAAUACCUGCAAAUCAGCAUACAUCCCUCUGUUAUAUCCCGUCUUAAAUUUUUGAAGCUAAAAGGGAAAUUCCAUUUACCUGCAAUCAUUAGCCUUUCUCCCAAACCUGCCAAGCAUUUAAAAUUAUUCAGCUUUGAUACAUGGGAAAUCUAAGAAAAGGGCUCACUGUAAGUUUACAACAUUAAGCUUCACGUUGAUGCAGGCUAAUGAAUUUUUUAACGUACGUUGUACAAUUAUAAUAGUUAAAACAUACCUAUAUGGUGCUUGGGGAUAUCAAAACACUCGGUUUGUUCCUUGGUGCUAUUAUUGUUGUUCAAUCUACAUCCCCUUCCUUGAGCUUCGCAAUCACCACAGUCUGGUUUAUACCAACGUAACUGAAAACGGAUACCAUAAGGAGAAAUGGGUGUUGAGAAGUUGCGAAAGUAGCUGCAAUUCAACAGGUUGAGUCCAUAAUAAUUUUCAUCAGAAGCAAAAGCUAUAAUUUGGGAGCCAGGGGUGCUUAAGCAAGCGACUCUAUAUCUUUUAUACAAAGCCUUCUCUUGGCUUAAACAUUCGAACAAGGUAUAGUUGGAUUCAGCUGGUUGGGAUCUAUAAUCUUUUAGGCCGCUGAAACCUGGUUGUUCCUCCGCGAAUGGAAAGGCAGAUAAAUUGAGAUCUAAAAGCUGCUGCCAGAGGCAACGGCCGGGAACGUAUAAGUCAAUCCGUUGAGCUUCAUAAUCUAUGUGCUUCACCAAUAGCUUCAGCGAACGUGGUAUCUUCAGCAGGGUCUGUUUGUUUUCUGAGCAGGAAAGCUGAAACCCAGGAUGAGGAUAGCCGCAGUGGGGAGACUGCUGGCCUUCUAAACGGAAGGGGAAACGGACAGGUGGAUCCUGGUGGUUGCACCGCCGCACCUUGCAGUCGUCUUGGAUUGGCACUGCUUCUGCAACAUUCACAGCUAAGAUAAAGCAGAAUAACGAGUAAAUUAACAUUGUUCUUACUAACUUGUGAGCCCCUAAAGUGAAACGGGCUUUAAAUAGUUUCAUUGACAUAGGUGGUUCAGCCCUUGAGAGUUCCAAUUAUGCACGCAACGCAGCUGCUGCUUUACUACAUAGCUUUGUCUCGUUUAACAGGGUCUUCAACUCUUCGUCCUCUCUUUGUCCUCUUUUAUGAGUAAAUGUUGGACAUGUUUGAUUGUUAGCAACCCUUUCUAACCUUGUUACUAAUUUUCUUUUAUUCCCGUUAGUUGUAGUAAAAUUUGAGGAAAAAACACUGAACAUGAGAAUGAAUACCGAUUUGCUGUUGUGAUCAUAGUGGGGUCAGCUUGACUGACUUUUGUUUUUCCACCUUCGUUUCACUACAUUUUGUUUGGUAUGACUAAGAAGUUGACUGACUUUUAUGGGUUCUUUUUAAUGUCUAUCGUUUCUUUUCUAAUGUAGGUGGAUUUUUUCUCACUUUCUUUUUUUCUAAUUUAUCUUUUAUUUUUAAAAAUGGCAAAACUCGAAUCAUAUGUUUUUAAAUUACUUAUACAAAUUUUUUUAAAAGUGGAUACAAGACAAUGAGAUGAUUUUUUCCACAUGAGUAUGAAACAAUUAUAGUCAUUGUUUGCUCUACUCACCCUAUCUCGAAAUAAUCUUUUACCUUUUUUUUUGUAUAUAAUUAUUAAAAUGAUAAAAAUGUAAUAAUAUGUUAUAGAAAAAAUUCAUAUGUUUUAUACUUAUAUUUUUUAAAAAUUAUGUUUAAAUAUUUACUUUUCUUAAAAAAAAGUAAAAUUAUUAAAAUAACUAAAAAUAAAAAUUAAAUUAAAGUAGAGCGAAGCAAGGUGAGAUGGGAUGGGGAUGGAUGCUUCUAAUAUCUAUGCGGUGAUAGUAAUUUUUCAGAUUAUACAUCCAACACAAGUAAAAAUUCAUAUGCAAGGAAUCAAAAUAUCAGUCCACUAAGCCAAUAAUUUAAUUACAACAUUAAGAUAAUUGAAAACGUAACGAUUACAAACUAAUUUUUUAAAUGUUGGUUGCUUAAAACGUAAGGAUCACAUGCACUAUAAACGUAAGGACCACCGUUGAAAGCCAUGCAAAAAUCUACAAUUUUAUAUUUAUAUGUGUAUAUAUACACAUAUACAUAUACACGUAAACACUAUAAAUCAUGCCAACCAUUAACAAAGCCAUGCAAAUAUUUAUAUUUAUAUAUUUCAUAUAUUUAUACAUUCACAUGCACAUAACUAAAUACGACAUCAUGCAAAUAUAGUUAUGUACAGAAUAUUGAUAUAUUAUCUCAUCAAUUUUAAAAAUAAACAACACCAAAAGACCAAGCUUUACACUACUCACACGACAUAACAUUGGUUUCACGAAUCCUCAAAGCACUACUCCCUCUGGGCUUUCUAUUAACAGCAACCUCCUUUGUCUUUAUUUGGUUGUGGCUUCUAUGCAGAUUAGACGAGAGGCUUCAAUGGAUGAUAUAAAAGAGGUGGUGUUGGUCAGUGUUGGGCAGAGGUGGCCUGAUGUCGGUGCAAGGAGAUCAACGGUUAGGGACGAGGGUGACUGUGGAGCGAUGAGAUGUUGGGGCGACGGAAGAACUCACGAUGGCGGUGAUAGGGCGGACAAUGGUGCAUUGAUGGAGAUGACUCCAAGGCAGCGUGAUGAAAGGGAGGGACGACUUGGGGCAGUUGGCUGACGGUGUGGCGACUAAGAGGAUCGGUGCUUAGUGAUGGAAUGAAGGAGAUAAUGCCUGACGUUGGGGAGUGAAAGGUGGUAAUCAGUCUUUUAUUAGGUUUGAUAGUAGGAAAGUUUGACCAAAUGUAUUCAUUCUUUAUUAGUCAUAACUCUGAAACCUAAUUGAUGAUGAUGAUAGAGCACACACACCUAAGCCACCACUCUCUCGACUAAUUCCAGUUUUUCCUUGCUUUUCAAAAGUAUUUUUAGAAAAUACUUUUAAAGUACUUUUAAAAAAUUUGAGUAUUUGGUAUUACUAACAUAAAGUGUUUUUGAAAAAUAAAAUAUUUAUUUUAGACAUGAUAUUAUAAAGUAAUAAAUAUGUAUUUAAAUAAUAUUCAAAUUAGUUAAUAUUAUGAUAUUUUAGCAAAAAAAUAAAAAAUAAUUUAUUAUAACUUAUUGUUAAUAUUUUAAUAUAUAAUAUUAAUUUUAAAUAUUUCUAAGUAAUUAAUAUUAAUUAUUUAUUAACUUUAAUUAGAAUAUAUAAACUAUAUUUAAAUAUUUAAAUAUAAUAAUUAAAUAAUUGUAAUUAGAUAUUGACACAACUGUAUUAUUAUAAAAAUUAUUUUUUAUUUUUAAUUAAUACUUUUUAACACAUUUGUAUUAUUUUAUUUUAAAAUGUAUUUGAAUAUAUAACUCAUAUUAGAUAUUAACAUAACAUAGAAAACAUAAACUUAAAAAAUUAAAAUAUUACAUAUAUUUGGAUUAAAGUUUUAAAAAGGGAUAAUAUUUAUAUACCAAAUAUAAAUACUAAAAAUCUUACAAUAGCAUUUACAAUUUAAAGUGAAUUCAUUAAACUAGAAGUUAUAGCAUCUCUUGUUAAUUCCAUUUCAAAACCACUUGAAUUGUUUGAUUCACUGUCAUCAUCACUAUCUUCGUCGUCGUCGUCAUCAUAUCACUUUAUCGACCAUGCGCAUUUUCUGAAUCAAUAAUAUUCUCAUAUGCCCAGUUAAUAUCUUCGUAUUCCAUAAAAUCUACAUCAUUUCGACCGAAAUGUUUUCAGAUAAAAUUGUGUAUCGUCAUUGUAGCAACAACGAUCAUGGUUUGCUUUCAAAAAUAUAACUUGGCAUAUCCCUUAAAAUGGCUCUUUUUUUCAAAACACCAAAAGUUCGUUCAAUUACACUACGUAAUGAUGAAUGUGAAUGAUUGAAUAUCUCUUCUAUACCAGAUAUCGGUCUACUUCUACAAAAGUCAAGUAAAUGAUAUCGCUGAUAUUUUGGUAGGGGUUUUGCUUAUGAUUGCGGCACUCUUUAAUAUGUACCAUUUGCAAUACAUUUAAGUAAAAAUAUUAUUAUAUAUAAAGUCCUAAGGCAGUCAUUAAGAAAACCCAUGUAGUUACUUCAAACAUGUGGUAUUAUUGAUUAUCAAAGUAAUGGCAUUAAAGGCAUGACUUCCCCACUCCACCGGUCCAGCUGCAACUGCAUUAAUGGAGUAAAAAAGACACAUACCUAGCUACAAAACUCAAUUAUGGCUUGUUUCCAAACCUUACCAAACCAUGAACUCAACAUGAUACUUCAAACAAUUGAAUCACCAAACUAAAAGAGAAAAAAAGAAUUUCAAAAACUAGAAUAAAUUGCUUGGAUGUUUAAGUUCAAACCUGGGAAUAUAUAUAUAUAGAAACGCAAAAGCUGAAGCAAAAAGAAAAGAAAAAAGCCAGUGUAACCUCCAGUAAGAAGCUCAAAAGAAUGGAAAUGCUAGCAUUAAUUACCAAUCAGAAUUAAUAUAUAGUAAAGUAAUUAAGUUGAAAAAAAGAACUUUGCAAAUGAAGAAGAGACAGAAAACAACACACAUAAAAAAUGGACAAAGACUGAUGAUGUUUGUAAACCAUCCAGAAAAUAGAAUAAGAAGAGAACAAAUCCAUCAACCACCUCUCUGAAAACUAUCCAUUUGCCAGCAGAGGAACAAAAAACCAGCACCAGCAGAGGAACAUAGAACGAGCGAUGAAAGAAGAGAUGAGAGCAAAGAACCACUGUUGUAUGUGUGGCUAAAAAAGUAAAAGACUAGCCCAAAAGUACUUUUUUGCUGAAAAAGCUAAAAAAUUCUACUUUUUCAUCUGCCCAAAAGCACUUCAAAUAAGUUCGAAAUUUGCUACCAAAUGAAGUCGGUUCUGCAUUGCUUUUUAGAUAAAAGCACUUUUCCUUUACUGAAUUGAAUUAAUGGAAAAAAACGACAAAGAGUGUAAUUUUUACUUUACUUUACUGAAAGUGAAUGGAUAAAUAUGGAAUUAGAGAAUAAAGAAAAUUGGGGAAAAAAGAAGAAGAAGAAGGAGAAGUGUUAUCAUGAUUAUGACCCUUGGAUAUUAUGGAAGAAGUGAAGAAAUAAUUGCAAUUGGAUAUUAAUUAUAAUGUUGGGAUUUUUAUUAAUGUUUUAAUUAUAUUAAUUGUUACAUGGCUGUGUGGCUCAAAUGGACGUGUGGAAGAGGUCAGUUUAUGUGGCUCCCGUACUUGUUUUGAUUUUCGAUUCUUGAUAAGUGUCAAAAGUAACAUAUUUUAAUUUCGUUCUUAAUACGUUUUUAGAUGAUUAAUCAAUGCAAAAUGGUGAAUUUUAUACUCAUAAUCCUUUAAAUUCAUAUUUCUAUACUUAUAAGAGCAUUUUGAGAAAAAAAUGAGUGAAAACGGAGCGAAAAUCAGACAAUUGGAGUAGAUUUCAGGAGCCACACGGGUUGGACACACGGUCAUGUGAGCCACACGAGCUGCCACACGAGCUGCCACACAGCCAUGUGCCAGACCGUGUGGAUUUCGCGUUUCACACUCCAAAUAUGUGGAAUCACGCAGUUUUUAGGUUUUUCGGGCAUUCUUAAACCUAUAUAUACCAAAUAUAAGGAGAGAAGUAAGAGCCGUCAGAGAAUAUUGAAGAAAACAACUCAGAAGACACCAUUGAAGCCAACUUUGAAACAGAUUUCCACUAAGAUUGAAGAUCUCCUUUUGAUUUAUUUGAAGUUUAUUAUGAGUUUCUUUAUUUUUUGUGGUUAUAUUGUCUUUGAGAUGUUUUUAUUCGCGAUUAUGAACUAAUUUUCUAAUACCUAGGGGAGAUGAACCUUAUAAUGAAUUUUGUCUUUUGAUUUCUGUUUUAUGCAAUGAAUAAUUGAAUCUUAUUCUUAGUUAUGUGUGCUUAAUUCUUGAUUUAAUAUUUUCUAAUUAUUAAUUCAUGUUUGAUGUGCUUAAUUCAAAGUAGAUCUAGCAUAAUUGAGUGGAGUUGCAUGUAAUCUUAGAAAUAGGACGACAUAAAUCUACCGAAUUAGGUAUUCAUAAACGAGAACUCAAUCAUAUCCAUCGGCACAAAACCCAACCAGGUGAGUCACAUUUACAUAGUGGAUUCUACCCAUCGAACUCACCUCAUUGAUGAACUCUUAAUAUUUAACUAAAGUUUGCUUUCUACUUUUUUUUUUAUUUCCAUUUUUAAGAAAAUGUUAUUUUAUUAAUUCAAUUAUCAAAAUUAAUAUUAUUUUAUUUAAAUUAGAUUAAUCCUCAUUUAAUUAUUACAAGUAUAUUAUUUUAGAAUUAUAAAAAUUAUUAUUUAAUAAAUUAAACAAAUAAACAUUUAAAAUCACAUACAUUACAUUAAAAACUAAUAUAUCUAAAUAUAUAUUUUACCACUUAUUUUAAUCUUGUUAUUUUUAAUUUCAUCAAAAUUAUAUAUCACUCGAGCCACUGCGACUGCUGACUGGCGAUUAUUGCCUGCAUAAUUUGAUGAAAGGUUCUGAAUUAAUACAUCCAAGACUUUUAUGAGCAUCGCCAUUGACUGACCGACGACUUGUAUGAAAGAAUUUUCCACAUUAGCUUUAUUAUGGACUGAUUUUUCAAAGAAAGACUUGCUCUCAGUUGCAGCCAUAAAAUAAAUGAAUGAUUGGCAUUUUACAUUAAAGAACAUCCCAUUGUUUAUUUCUUCAUCGGAGCUCCACCGGAACCUGAUGAUGUUAAGACCCAGACUUGUCUUGUUUAGCGUCUUUGCCCUUACUUUAUCUCUAUCCCCAGAUGUUUCCGAUGGUAGAGCAGGCAAAAGCAACCACUGCAACCCAUCUUUGUGUGGACACGUUAAUAUCAGUCACCCUUUCCGCCUAAAAGGUCAGCCUCGUGGAUGUGGUGACCGUAGGUUUGAAUUAGAGUGCAAGAGAAACCGCACCAGUUUUCCCACGAAAUACGGAAACUUUUAUGUCCUAAACAUCUCUUAUGUUUACGGAACGCUUCGACUUGUGGAUGUGAGUCUGGUCGAUGAAAACUGCUCAAUUCCUCGCAGUUCCAUUGUCUAUUCUCCAUACAGCUAUCAAGAAGACAUAAAUUAUGGAAGACACACCAUGUAUCUGGUAAAUUGCACGACAAGGAUGAAGUCUUCUUCAGUUUAUGUCGAUGCUUCUCGUUGCCCAACCAAUAGCUCUUCUUCUCCUUGGACCUACUUCUACUUUCCGGUCUCGUUUUCAAAUAUAUCCGAUUUCCAUCAUUCGUGCAGAUUUAUAGCCCAGUUUCCUGUCAUGCUUUCCAAUAUUAGUGGCUUAUCCCCUUCGUACAUUUACAAAAACCUGUUGGAAGGCGUCGACGUGUACUGGUAUAUACCCUAUACUGAUUGGACUUUAAACCCGAUUCUCAAAGUGUAAGAGACUUCGAUCUUUAGAUUCCUUCAAUCUAUAACUUUUCAAGGUCUUAUUUAUUGAUUGGUUGCUUUUGUUUUUCCUUGGGGGGGGGGGGGGGGGGGUUAUUCUAGCUUGGUGAACUAUCUGCUACUUCCAAUUACAGCAUACAUAGUAAGCAAUGUGGCCUUUCUUCUACCGGGAAUCUUCGGCCAUUAUCCUUUUGGGAAAGGUUAAUCUUUCAGAUUUCAUAAGUAUCUUUAUUUAUUGGAUUUGCCCUUGAAUUGUAUUCGAGUUAGUAAUAUUAUUGUUCAAUUUGCGUUUUAAACAGGAGCCACCUUCGUUUGUCUUGCAGUAUCAGGUAAAUCUCUUUCCCUUCCCACUUUUUAUGUUAUCUUUAUAAAAUAAUCAUGAAUGCUGAUUUAUCCAUGUGUAUGCACCUUGAUGGGCAAGCAGGCAUAUUGUUAGCGAGAACUUUGUUGGGGAUAUUCUGCCUCAUUACACUUGUCAUACGCAAACUAAAGAGGAGGCAUUUGUCGAUGGAUGAUGAUAUCAAAAACUUUCUUUAAAGUCAAAAUAAUUUAAUACCUAUUCGAUAUUCGUAUUCUGAAAUAAAAAGAAUUACGGAAGGUUUUAAAGUUAAAUUAGGUCAAGGUGGUUAUGGUUCUGUGUUUAAAGGAAAGCUUCGCAGUGGUCGGCUAGUGGCAAUAAAAAUGUUAGAUAAAUCCAAAGCAAAUGGAGAAGAUUUCAUCAAUGAAGUUGCUACUAUUGGAAGAAUUCAUCAUAUUAAUGUAGUGCAACUUAUUGGGUUUUGUGUAGAGAGAUCAAAACAAGCUCUUGUAUAUGAUUUUAUGGUGAAUGGGUCUCUGGAUAAAAUUAUAUUUUCAAAGGAGAAUUGCACUUUAAGUUGGCAAAAAUUAUUUGAUGUUGCACUUGGUGUGGCUCGAGGAAUUGAAUACUUGCACCGAGGUUGUCAAAUGCAAAUUUUGCAUUUUGAUAUCAAGCCGCACAACAUUCUUUUGGAUGAAAACUUUAUCCCUAAAGUUUCUGAUUUUGGUCUUGCAAAAUUAUAUUCAGUGGAUGACAGUAUUAUUUCUCUCACAGCGGCUCGUGGUACAUUAGGAUACAUUGCUCCUGAAUUAUUUUACAGAAAUAUUGGAGGCAUCUCAUAUAAAGCCGAUAUUUAUAGUUUUGGAAUGUUAUUAAUGGAAAUGGUGGGAAGAAGAAAGAAUUUGAAUGCAUUUGAUGAUCAUUCUAGUCAAAUUUAUUUUCCGUCAUGGAUUUAUGAUCGAUUUGAACAAAGAGAGAACAUAGAAUUAGGGGAUGUAACAGAAGUUGAUGACAAAAUAGCAAGGAAGAUGAUCAUGGUUGCUUUUUGGUGCAUACAAAUGAAUCCCACUAAUCGUCCUUCAAUGAGCAAAGUUUUGGAAAUGCUCGAAAAUGAACUUGAUCAACUUGAAUUGCCGUCCAGACCUUCACUAUUUUCUCUCGAAAAGUCGAUUGAAGAUCAUGUUAGUAAGAAUGUAUCGGAGGAACCAUCAACGUCAAAAAGUUGUGUGGACCUCUAAGUAUAAUUUUUGAUUUUAUUCGGACCUUUUAUUCAUAUAGUUCUGCAACUGUAAGGUUUUAAUUUGUAGCAUUUCAUGUUCAGUUGUAUAAUAUCCAGCAUCAUGUAAUACAACUAUUAAUGGAUGUGUGUUUUAGACUUUAGCUCCUUAGCUUCAUGUUUCAAUUAUUAAAAAUGUCUCCUUGUCACCAUAUAAUGAGUUAAUAUCAAAUUCGUUUACAAUUAUUUAGUAUAUAAGUGACUCUUAACAUUGUGUGAUCUCAUGAGAAGGUUUUUACUCUCUUAUCGUAAUAUGUAAUCAUGAUGAUAAGAGUAUCUGAUACGGGGUUGCGCGCGGACCAAGAUCGAGUUGCCAAAUCACGAGAAACUCCUACGAAAACCCUAAACAAUCAGAUCUGAAACGAAACAGAAAAUUAAAAGAUUAGAUUUUUGAAUUUUCAAAUCUGAAAUAAAAUCCCCAAAUCAGCAAAGAAUCAAAUUGAGAAUAGAAAUAAGUGUUAGGGUUAUUGAAACCCUCAAGGAGAUUGUGAUUCUGCCCAAUUGAACACCAAGAUAGUUUUCCCCAAAUUUCGACAAUCUAAUUUCACCCAAAAAGAGUAUGGAAAAACCCUAGAAAUUGGGGAUUUUUGGGCUGAUUCCUUAAGAUAGAAAAAGGCUGAAAACGCAAUAAGAACAAAAAAUAGAUUAGAUAAUGAUUCAGCACAAGUAGAAAUAAAGAAAGAAUUGACAGUAAGAAAUUAAAAGAUAAGUCCUAAGAAGCCUUGAAAUCCCGAAAGAUCUCACAACUCCCUUCAAACGGCUCUAAUCUCCCCUCCAAAGAAUAUCAAUGGCAAGAAGAAGGUUGAAGAUGGCUCCCACAAUCAAAAAGAUUGUUAAAACAACUUCUAAAGAAAACUCAAGAGAAAAUCCUUGAAGAACUCAAAGAGAAUUUUCACUCAAAUCAAAUCUGAAAUUUUCAAUGUAAUUGUAAUGUAAUGUAGGGUGGCUGGCCAAGCCAUAUAAAUAGGCCUUUCAAAUGUUUUCCUAAUUUAAUUAGAACACUAAAACUAAAACUAAAAAAAACUCCUAAUUAUUUUAAUAUGGAAAUUCGGCCAAGGGUCUUUUAUUUGGGACUCUUGGACUGAAUAUAAAAAUUUAAACUAAGUAAAAUAAAUAAAUAAAUAAAUAAAAAUAAAACUUUACAACUUGGGCCACUUUGACAAUUUGGCCUGAUUUUCAACUAAGUAUGGAUGGAUUUCUUGAUUGGGCUGGGAAUUUGCUUAUUGGGCCUCGCCUUCAAGAAUUUGGGCUUUUGUGACUCGUAUCAUUCCCCCUUCCUCAAAAAGAUUCGUCCUCGAAUCUGAAAAAUCAAAUGAACUCGACUUUCCUCUAUCGAACGGGACUAAUGGCAAUUGAGUCCACUGAGAAGAAUAGCCAUGAGAUAGUAAAUAGCAACGGAAAUAAGCUUGUAGUCCAAUCAUAAGCAUAAUAGAACAGGUAUAACGCAUGUGAAUGGAUAGAUUCAGAUUACCAUGCAAACAAUCUAAUUUACUCACCACUGCCUCGUCAAAUAUUUGAAACAAAGAUGGACAUGUUUUAAGGCAUUCAGUCGUCUCACAUUGUUCCCACAAACCAUGAAUAAAUUGCGAGUAAUAAAUCAAAUGGUAAACAUAAUCGUCACAAGUAGGUAUUUGAAAAGAUUCACAUGGUUCACAGAGUUGCAUAAUCAUACCAUGCAUUAAUCGACGGUCUAUAGAUUCACUCACACAUGCAUUAUCAAAAACAAGAAUCUUUUUAUCAACCAUCAAAACAGAUAGAUCAUCAAUAAAUAAAAUAGGACAGUCAAGCACGUUUCGAUCUAAGUGUUCAUCAACACGAUCUUUAUCACUAUCCGAGGAGUACAAAAGUGUUUCAAAGGUUUCAAGCAUCUUACCUCGAUAAGCAGAAGAAUAAGGGUCGAUUUUACCUUUUUCAUUUAAAACAAACCUUCGCUCAUCGGGGGCAUAGUGUAGUCGAAUCUUCGUUGUUGAGUUAACGUUUGUCAAAUGGAACUCAAACUUCAUGUACAACCACAUAAACUGUUUAAGACACGAAUAUAAAUUGAAAACAAAUUUGGAAAAUUUCAUUACCUUAUUCUCCAAAACAGAUUUGGACAAAUUCGAGGAUUUUACACAAGGUAAAUCAAGAGAAUAAGAAAUCACGCUUCUUUUCGUAAUGACUUUAUCAACCACAAUCGAAGAGUAACAAUUAAUCGGAUCAAAAUGAGGGGAUCUUUUAAGAACUAAGUCACCAAAAGUUUGAUCAAUAAUUUUCAAAUCUGCACUGGACUCGGUUUCUAAAAUUUCCUUACCUCGCUUACCUUCGGGAUCAUGUAGUGUGAUUUCAUCUUUGCCUAAGUUGAUCGUAUGAAAGCGUCUUUCAUUUGAGAGGUAUUGAAGUUGAAAGUUAUCUUUCGAUCUUUCGGGAACCUGAAAAGUAGCAACACAAGAAAAAUUCAUAUCUUGGUUAGUGGAAACAUUCCUCACUAUCCUUUCCACGUCUUUUUCUUUUGUUUCUUUUUCUAAUUCAUUUUCUCUUCUUUCUUCAAUUUCUUUUUCACUCUCAAUCUCUUUUUGCUCUUUUUCAUUCUCUUUUUCUUUUUCCUCACUUGUUUUAACAGAAUUUUUCAGUUUGAUUUGGUCCUCAUGGACUUAUUCCGGAGUGAGCGGCACUAAGGUGAGUUUCUUUCCUUGAUGCUUGAAAGAAUACCUAUUGGUAUGACCAUCGUGAGUGACUUUUCGAUCCAGUUGCCAUGGUUCUCCUAGCAACAAAUGGCAGGCUUGAAUAGGCAUUACGUCGCACACAACUUCGUCUUGAUACUUACCAAUAGAAAAGGCGAUGCGCACUUGUUGAGUGACCCUAAAUUGGCCUUCGUUGCUAAGCCCUUGUAGUUGAUAAGGUUGUGGAUGCUUGGUAGUGGUUAAGCAAAGCUUUUCCACCAUCGUCGUGCUGGCUAUGUUCGAGCAACUUUCACCAUCAAUAAUAACUCUACAAAGCUUACCUUGUACGUGGCAGCGAGUAUGAAAGAGAUGUUCUCGUUGCUGCUCGCUCUUUGGUUUUGCCAAAGAUGAUUGUCCAUGAUCAUGACAAUCAUCAUCCAUUCUAGGGACACGUUCAGGGUUGCACCUAUGGGGCUGGUUAUCCCUAUCUUCCUUAAUUGGAUCUCGAUAUUGAUGUUUUUGAUUCACUCGUACCUCAUUCAAAGUAGUAUUCAAUGCUUGAAGUGUAGCAUUUAUUUGUGUGAUUGCAGCAGUAUGUCUGUCUAACUGUUGUUGGACUUUCAUAAGUGCAUCAUUAUUACCACCUUUAGACAUCUUCAAAACCUGUAAAAAAUAAACACUCAAAAAUAAAAGUUAGCAAACCUCACCAUUAAUCACUCAAAAAGAAAAAUCAAAUUCUCAAUGAGGUCGAAUUCAAUCUUGUGAGUUCUUUAUCAGAGUUUAUAUCAACCAAUUAGAGAGUGUGAACCAAACUACCAAAGAAUCCUAAUUUGCACUAGGAUGCCAAAAACUGACGAGACACCAAGUGAUUCGUGUUGCACCGAGGAAGGAGUUGUGCACACGUGUAAAUCCUACUAACACAAGAAACAAGAAGGUGUUAGAUAACGUAACAGAAGCAAACAAAUGAAAACCUACAGCUAAGAAUCAAUAAAAAUUGCUGAAAACAGAAAACCCGAAAAACUGCGGAGUAACUUGACAACUUCGUUCGAGGUGUUCCUGAUCUCCAAAAAUCACGAAAUUAAAUCUCGAAUGUCCUUAAAUAUUUAAUUUUUGAUCUGGAAAUUUUGGGCACCAAAUUCAACCCGCUGAAUCUUUUUUAAAUUUUUAUUGAAUUUCGUCUUUUUUGAUUUUUUUGACUUUUUUGACUGAUUUUUUUGCGGGAAUAAUUUUUUAUAUUCAAUCACAGUGCCAAAAACAUGUAUGUAAAAUUUCAGAUCAAUAGGACAACGUUUACCCACUCAAAUGAAUUUUUUUUGAACAAUUUUUCUGGGUAAAACUGUUGUUUAUGCUUUAAAAAAUAGAGAUCAGUUUAGAAAUCAACCAAGAACACCCAAAAUACCCAAAAUCUGAUACCAAAUGAUACGGGGUUGCGCGCGGACCAAGAUCGAGUUGCCAAGUCACGAGAAACUCCUACGAAAACCCUAAACAAUCAGAUCUGAAACGAAACAGAAAAUUAAAAGAUUAGAUUUUUGAAUUUUCAAAUCUGAAAUAAAAUCCCCAAAUCAGCAAAGAAUCAAAUUGAGAAUAGAAAUAAGUGUUAGGGUUAUUGAAACCCUCAAGGAGAUUGUGAUUCUGCCCAAUUGAACACCAAGAUAGUUUUCCCCAAAUUUCGACAAUCUAAUUUCACCCAAAAAGAGUAUGGAAAAACCCUAGAAAUUGGGGAUUUUUGGGCUGAUUCCUUAAGAUAGAAAAAGGCUGAAAACGCAAUAAGAACAAAAAAUAGAUUAGAUAAUGAUUCAGCACAAGUAGAAAUAAAGAAAGAAUUGACAGUAAGAAAUUAAAAGAUAAGUCCUAAGAAGCCUUGAAAUCCCGAAAGAUCUCACAACUCCCUUCAAACGGCUCUAAUCUCCCCUCCAAAGAAUAUCAAUGGCAAGAAGAAGGUUGAAGAUGGCUCCCACAAUCAAAAAGAUUGUUAAAACAACUUCUAAAGAAAACUCAAGAGAAAAUCCUUGAAGAACUCAAAGAGAAUUUUCACUCAAAUCAAAUCUGAAAUUUUCAAUGUAAUUGUAAUGUAAUGUAGGGUGGCUGGCCAAGCCAUAUAAAUAGGCCUUUCAAAUGUUUUCCUAAUUUAAUUAGAACACUAAAACUAAAACUAAAAAAAACUCCUAAUUAUUUUAAUAUGGAAAUUCGGCCAAGGGUCUUUUAUUUGGGACUCUUGGACUGAAUAUAAAAAUUUAAACUAAGUAAAAUAAAUAAAUAAAUAAAUAAAAAUAAAACUUUACAACUUGGGCCACUUUGACAAUUUGGCCUGAUUUUCAACUAAGUAUGGAUGGAUUUCUUGAUUGGGCUGGGAAUUUGCUUAUUGGGCCUCGCCUUCAAGAAUUUGGGCUUUUGUGACUCGUAUCAGUAUCUUAUAAUAAUUAUGAGUGUGGCGUGACGGUUGCUCACUUUAUUUUUUAAUCAUGUAGCCAGGGGUUCGAGCUCCACUCCUAGAAAUGGAACACCUUCCAACAAUGAAUACCUUAAUUUUGACAAUUAAACAACAUUUAAGAUAGAAUCUUAUCAUUUAUUAGUAGAAUAUAUAUACUAACAGCCAUGCAGCAUUUCAUUUAUGAGUUCAAAUAAAAUCAAGUUUCAACUGCUUCUAGUACUACUAACAAUGAGGCUCGAGAUUGCUCUUAUUCCAUUUCUGAAAUAGUGGCUAGAUCUCUGUUAACCGGCUUCCUAGGUGUGGUGGCACCCAUCGUCUUCGGUGUAUCUGUCGAUGCAAAAGGAUUUGGUGGCAUUGUAAGAACGUCAAGCUCUCCCUCUAACAUCUGAACCACCACUUUCAUCGAAGGACGAUCAACGGGAUACCACUGAAUGCACCAAAGUCCAACGAUCAUGAGUUUCUUUGCUAUCCCUGUUUGUGCAUCAUCUUCAAUUCGAAUCCCGAACUCCUCUCCUUUAUCCAAACGAUCAUAUGCCCAUUCUGGGAAAUAAACUUGGCUUGUAUUCUCGACCGUAACAUCUAUGUUCUUUCUCCCCCCAACCAUUUCAAGCAACAGCAUUCCAAAACUAUAAACAUCAGACUUAUAUGACACAUUUCCGAAGUUCCGAGACAGUACCUCGGGUGCAAUAUAGCCCAUGGUACCUCUAGCUGUUGUCAUUGAAAUAGCACUUUGUUCCUUGGAACACAAUUUAGCAAGGCCGAAAUCAGAGAUCUUAGGAUUGAAGUUGUGAUCAAGCAAAAUAUUGUGAGGUUUGAUGUCGAAAUGGAGGAUACGUUGCUCGCAACCUUGAUGCAGGUACUCGAUGCCUUUGGCUACACCGACAGCAAUAUCCUGAAGUUUUUCCCAACUAAGGGAUCGAUCCUUGCCCUUGGCUGCAAAUAUGAACUUCUCUAAUGACUCGUUUGGUAGGUAUUCAUAAACGAGAGCUCGGUCAUAUCCAUCGGCACAAAAGCCAACCAGGCGAGUCACAUUCACAUGGUGGAUUCUGCCCAUCGAACCCACCUCGUUGAUGAACUCUUCACCAUUUCCCUUGAAAUUAUUGAGUACCUUGACAGCAACUAAAACAUCACUGGAAAGUCUGCCUUUGAAGACAGUUCCAUAGCCUCCUUGUCCCAGUUUGUCCUUGAAAUGAUUAGUUAUCCUUUUAAUAUCAGCAUAGGAGUAUCUUGAGGGUUUAAACCCUUUAUAAUCUUCCAAAAACUUUUCAAUCUUGACUUGACUUUCUUUCUCUUUUUUGUCUAACUGAUAUCUCCACCCAACUGCAAUGGCAAUGGUUGCAGCAAUUGAAGAACCCAACACAAUACCUGCAAAUCAGCAUACAUCCCUCUGUUAUAUCUCGUCUUAAAUUUUUGAAGUUAAAAGGGAAAUUCCAUUUACCUACAAUCAUUAGCCUUUCUCCCAAACCUGCCAAGCAUUUAAAAUUAUUCAGCUUUGAUACAUGGGAAAUCUAAGAAAAGGGCUCACUGUAAGUUUACAACAUUAAGCUUCACGUUGAUGCAGGCUAAUGAAUUUUUUAACGUACGUUGUACAAUUAUAAUAGUUAAAACAUACCUAUAUGGUGCUUGGGGAUAUCAAAACACUCGGUUUGUUCCUUGGUGCUAUUAUUGUUGUUCAAUCUACAUCCCCUUCCUUGAGCUUCGCAAUCACCACAGUCUGGUUUAUACCAACGUAACUGAAAACGGAUACCAUAAGGAGAAAUGGGUGUUGAGAAGUUGCGAAAGUAGCUGCAAUUCAACAGGUUGAGUCCAUAAUAAUUUUCAUCAGAAGCAAAAGUUAUAAUUUGGGAGCCAGGGGUGCUUAAGCAAGCGACUCUAUAUCUUUUAUACAAAGCCUUCUCUUGGCUUAAACAUUCGAACAAGGUAUAGUUAGAUUCAGCUGGUUGGGAUCUAUAAUCUUUUAGGCCGCUGAAACCUGGUUGUUCCUCCGCGAAUGGAAAGGCAGAUAAAUUGAGAUCUAAAAGCUGCUGCCAGAGGCAACGGCCGGGAACGUAGAAGUCAAUCCGUUGAGCUUCAUAAUCUAUGUGCUUCACCAAUAGCUUCAGCGAACGUGGUAUCUUCAGCAGGGUCUGUUUGUUUUCUGAGCAGGAAAGCUGAAACCCAGGAUAAGGAUAGCUGCAGUGGAGAGACUGCUGGCCUUCUAAACGGAAGGGGAAACGGACAGGUGGAUCCUGGUGGUUGUGUUGGAACACUGGCAGCAACAAAUCAAACAAAUGAAAACACCAAGAGCAUAAGCUCACGAACAGCAAGCAGAAACAGAAUAGAAAACUCAAAAGCAAAAAAUGUAAAAUGAAUGGAAUACUACUUCUUUUCAUUUCAUUUGAAAAUAUAAGAGUUACAAAAUUAGAAUGUCAGUUACCUAAACUUGUAACUGCUCCCACCUAUUUUGGCAAGUUGCCAACUAAAGUAAUACAAAGAAAGCUGAAAAAAUUUUAGCCAUUACAUCCAUCAAUUCAAAUCUUAACAACUCUAAAAGUCUAGUUAUAUUUAGUUUGGAUGGCAUUACAAAAUGAACAAAAGUAAACCAAAUAAUUUAGCUACUUCUGGUCCUGCUUGAAUGCUGGUCUGCUGCAGCUGCUGGUCUUCAUCAUGGCCUUCUGUUGCAUUGCAGUCCAUGCUCAACACUCCUCCUUGGACUGUAGGCAACAAACACCAACCAAAUCUCUAAGAAUUUCAAACCUCAUAGCACCAAGAGGCUUUGUUAAAAUGUCAGCCAAUUGAUCUUGUGAACUACAAUAUGCAAGAUUCACAUCCUUUGAUUGUACUGCCUCUCGAACAAAAUAAAAUUUGAGCUUAAAGUGCUUUGUUUUGCCAUGAAAAACAGCAUUCUUGGAGAUAGCUAUUGCUGAUUGAUUAUCAACCAUAAUCUCAGUAGGCUCAAAUUGUUCCUCAUUCAAAUCACACAACAAUUUUCUAAGCCAAAUAGCUUGGCUUACUGCUCCAGCUGCUGCUAUGUACUCUGCCUCAGCAGUUGAUUGAGCAACUAUUUGCUGUUUUCUAGAGCUCCAACAGAAAGCUCCUGAACCAAGAGAAAAGAGGUAGCCUGAGGUACUCCUCAUAUCAUCAAUCGAACCUCCCCAGUCACUGUCUGAGUAACCAGAUAACUUCAGCUGACCUCCUGUCUUGAACAUCACUCCAAACUUCAAGGAUCCUUUCACAUACCUGAGGAUUCUCUUUGCAGCUUUUAAAUGUGAUGUGUUGCAGCUAUGCAUAAAACGAGAUAGCAAACUGACCGAAUGCAUAAGGUCAGGUCUAGUUGCUGUCAAGUAUAGCAAACAUCCAAUUAGACUUCUAUACUCUCUUUCAUCCACCUUUUCUUCAUCUCCAUAGCUGCUCAACUUCUGUCCCAUGACUAAAGGUGUACCCACUGGCUUGCAAUUUUCCAUAUGGAACUUAGUGAGAAUUUUCAAGGCAAAUGCAUGCUGGCUGAUAAAAAUGCCUUGAUCAGACUGGUCUACUUCCAUACCAAGGAAGUAAGUCAUGAUUCCCAAGUCUGUCAUGUCAAACAUGUUUUGCAUAUUCUUCUUGAACUCCUGAAUCAAAUCGACCCUGCUUCCAGUCACUAAUAGAUCAUCCACAUAUAUUGAGACAAUCAGCAAAGUCUCAUUUUUAGACUUCUUUAUAAACAAAGUUGGCUCACUCAAACUUUUCUCGAAAUUGAGCCUAAACAGGUAAGCAUCUAUCCUGUCAUACCAGGCUCGAGGAGCCUGUUUUAGUCCAUAGAGUGCCUUCUUCAGCUUGUAAACCUUGUCCUCCUUUCCUUGGACUUUAAAUCCAUCAGGCUGUUCAACAUAAAUUUCCACUUUAAGAAAGCCAUUCAGGAAAGCUGACUUGACAUCAAGCUGAUGGACCUUCCACUGUUUCUGUGCAGCGAAAGCAAAUAGAAGCUUUAUGGUAUCCAGCCUUGCCACUGGAGCAAAUGUCUCCUCAAAAUCAAUGCCAAACUGUUGAUUGUACCCUUUCACCACAAGCCUUGCCUUGUGCUUGUUCAGAGAGCCAUCUGCAUUGAAUUUGGUCCUAAAAACCCACUUGACACCUAUGACUUUCUUCUGAUCAGGUCUGUCUACCAGAUCCCAAGUAUCAUUCUUAUGGAUCAUGUCGAUUUCAGCCUCCAUAGCCUUCUUCCAGCUCUUGCUUCUAGCAGCUUCUUCAUAGCUUGAAGGCUCAACAAUGGCCACAUUGCACCUUUGGUAGAUAUCAGCAAUAGACCUGGUCCCUCUCACAGGAGCAUCAUCUACAUUGGCAUUACUGACUUCAUUUUCUGCCAAUUCCAAAUUGCUGCCAAUCUGCUCUUCUUCAAACUGACUUGUGUUAGAGUCAUCUAGACUCCAAAACCUUCCUUCAUCGAAUUUGACAUCCCUGCUUACCAAAAUCUUCUUGGUUGAAGGAUCAAAUACUCUGUAGCCCUUCUUGCAGCUACUGUAACCAACAAAUAUACCAGGAACUGACCUCUUCUCGAGCUUGGUUCUUCUUUCUACAGGGACAAGUACAAAACACUUGCAACCAAACACUUUUAAAUGGGAAACAGUUGGUUUAAGAUCAUACCAUACUUCAAAAGGAGUUUUAUCAUUCACAGCAUGUGUUGGCAGCCUAUUGAGCAGGUAUACUGAGGUGUUGACACCUUCAGCCCAAAAAAUGCUUGGAAGCUUGCUUUGAAACAACAUGCACCUGGUCAUGUUCAUCACUGUUCUGUUCUUCCUCUCACACACUCCAUUUUGCUGAGGAGUGUACACUGUGGUUAACUGAUGAUGAAUCCCAGCCUGCUCACAUAGCUUCUGAAAUCUUUCAGACAAGUAUUCAGAACCAUUGUCUGUCCUCAAGGCCUUAAUCCUGCAGCCUGUUUGAUUUUCUGCCAAUGCCUUGAACUUUCUAAAAACUUCAAACACUUCUGACUUCUGUUUCAUGAAAUAAACCCAGCAAAAUCUGGUUAGAUCAUCAAUAAACAGUAUAAAAUACUUACUGCCAUUCAGUGAAGGGGUCUUCAUUGGUCCACAGACAUCUGAGUGCACCAACUCAAGUCUUUCUCGAGCCCUCCAUGCUUGGUUAGCUGAAAAGGGCAACCUGGCUUGUUUGCCAAGCUGACACACCUCACAAACGCCUUCACUUGCACUAAACUUCACCAUGUCUUCUGUCAUGUUCAUUUUGUGCAGCAAAUCAAGUGAUUUGAGGCUAACAUGGCCAAACCUCUUGUGCCAAAGAUCAGUAUUGUCAACUGAGCUUGUAUAUGCACUUUUCUCAAGCUGACUCACUUCCAGCAUAAAACAUUUGUCUCCCAUAGGUGCUGAGACAAUCUCCCUACCAUGAGCAUCACUUAUAACACAAGAAUCAUUCUUGAAAACUAGUGAAAAGCCUUUCUUGACUAGCUGGCCUACACUGAGUAAAUUUUGGUCUAUUUCUGGCACAUAGAGCACAUCAGAAAUGAUUUUGUUACCUGAACCAGUGUGAAUGACCACAUCACCUCUACCUUUUGCUUCAAUCAAGUUGCCAUUGCCUAUCCUGACCUUCGAGACAUAGCUCCUGUCAAGAUUCUUGAAAAGGCUCUCAUCUGCAGCCAUGUGGUGUGAGCAGCCACUAUCCACAAGCCAACUGCUCAUGCUUUUAGCUGCAUAACAUGAAGCUGUAAAUACAUGCUCCUCCUGAGCUUGGACAUCCUCGGCAGACUUGGCUUGUACUGGUUGUGCUUGUGCCUUCUCAUGACUUCUACAGAUUUUCUCAUGAUGACCAUACUUCUUACAGCUUCUACACUGUAUAUCUGGUCUGGUCCAGCAAAAUUUUUCCAGGUGAUUGGUCUUCUUGCAGUGAAUGCAUAGUGGAAACCUCCUUCUACCGGCAUCUUUCUUUGAUUUUUCCUUCUUUUCAAACCAAGGCUUCUUAGCUUUCUGGCUUGAGCUGGAGCCUUCUCUGACCUUUGCUUGAAAAGCACCUUCAAGACUCUCCUCCUGCCUACUUGCUCUUCUCUGUUCAAGUGCAUAGAGUGAGUUAACCAACUCAGACAAAGAAAUGGUUGUGAGAUCUCUCGAGUCCUCCAAUGAGGAGAUUUUUGACUCAAACCUUUCAGGUAAGGUGGUAAUAACCUUCUCAACAACCCUACUAUCACUGAAAUCUUCUCCAAGGAGUCUAAUAUUAUUGACUGUAGCCAUAAUCCUAUCAGAAUAUUGCUUGAUAGUUUCUGACUCCUUCAUCUUUAAAUUUUCAAACUCCCUUCUAAGGUUGAUGACUUGUUGCUGCCUGGUCUUGUCUGAUCCCAUAAAUUCCUCUUUUAGCCUGUCCCAUGCCUGCUUGGGAGAGUUACAGGCCAUGAUACGAGUGAAAAUAACAUCUGAUAUUCCAUUCUGCAAACAGGCCAUAGCUUUGUGUUUCUUGGCUCGUUCCUCACCAUGUUGUCUGAUCUGAGCAAUGGUAGGAUUUGCUCUUAAUGGUGCUGGCUCGACAUCACUCUCAACUGCACUCCAGAGGUCAAGUGCUUGAAGAUAUGUCUUCAUUUUGACAACCCAAAUGUGGUAGUUGUCUCCAGCAAAAACUGGUGGUGGAGGAGGAGCAAAACUCAUGCUGCCAAGACUGACUUUGAAAACACAAAAAACUGACUUUGAAAAAAGACUAAAACAUAAACAACAGAGGUCCUCAAAGAUAGGAGGCUCUGAUUACCAUUUGUUGGAACACUGGCAGCAACAAAUCAAACAAAUGAAAACACCAAGAGCAUAAGCUCACGAACAGCAAGCAGAAACAGAACAGAAAACUCAAAAGCAAAAAAUGUAAAAUGAAUGGAAUACUACUUCUUUUCAUUUCAUUUGAAAAUAUAAGAGUUACAAAAUUAGAAUGUCAGUUACCUAAACUUGUAACUGCUCCCACCUAUUUUGGCAAGUUGCCAACUAAAGUAAUACAAAGAAAGCUGAAAAAAUUUUAGCCAUUACAUCCAUCAAUUCAAAUCUUAACAACUCUAAAAGUCUAGUUAUAUUUAGUUUGGAUGGCAUUACAAGAUGAACAAAAGUAAACAAAAUAAUUUAGCUACUUCUGGUCCUGCUUGAAUGCUGGUCUGCUGCAGCUGCUGGUCUUCAUCAUGGCCUUCUGUUGCAUUGCAGUCCAUGCUCAACAGGUUGCACCGCCGCACCUUGCAGUCGUCUUGGAUUGGCACUGCUUCUGCAACAUUCACAGCUAAGAUAAAGCAGAAUAACGAGUAAAUUAACAUUGUUCUUACUAACUUGUGAGCCCUUGAAGUGAAACGGGCUUUAAAUAGUUUCAUUGACAUAGGUGGUUCAGCCCUUGAGAGUUCCAAUUAUGCACGCAACGCAGCUGCUGCUUUACUAUAUAGAUUUGUCUCGUUUAACAGGGUCUUCAACUCUUCGUCCUCUCUUUGUCCUCUUUUAUGAGUAAAUGUUGGACAUGUUUGAUUGUUAGCAACCCUUUCUAAUCUUGUUACUAAUUUUCUUUUAUUCCCGU